CACUACAACAAUAUUGAGCUAUGGAGACAAAAUAUUUAGCGACAAAGUAUAUAUUUGUCGUUAAAAGCAAUUAAAUAGCGACUAAAUUUAAUGUUCGUCGCAAAAAAAAAAGGAGAGAUUUUGUAAAAUGUCAUUAGCGACAAUUUACCUUUAUUGCUAAAACAUAGUCGCUAUUAGUUUAAUGAGGUCACUUUUUUCUUCCCUAAAUUAAUUUUAGCGACAGACAUUAAUUAAUAGCGGCGAAACCUAACGUCACUAUAAGGUUCAAUAAUUAGCGACCAAGUAUUUGGUUGCUGAAAGUCAAUUUUUAGCAACACAUUAAUACUUUGUCGCUAAAAUAUUAAAAAAUUAUUUUUAUUUUUGUUGUUAUAUAUUUAUGAAAUAAAAUUUAAAUUAUUUUAUUUGGUUAAAUUAAAUAUUUUGGUUAAAUUUAAUAUUUUGGUUAAAUUAAAUAUUUUACUUCAUUUAACUAUAAUAUUUUUUUUAUUAGUGCUUAAUUCUUAUAAUUUUAUUAAUUAAUUAAAAUUUAUGAAAUAUUGAUGAUUUGUUAUAAUUUUGAUCUUAUAUGGUUGUUUUGAAAUUUAACUUAAAUUAAUUCUUUUGCUAGUAGAUUUAAAAUUUUUAUAUAAAUUUUUAAUUAAGUUUAAUUAUAAAUUUUAAUAAAUUCAAUGAUUUUAUUUCCUUUCUUAUCUUUAAUUGGUUUAAUUUUAUUAAACAAAAAAUAUAAAUAUCAAAGAUUAUGAAUUAAUAAUUUUAUUAAAAAAUAAAAAAUAUUAAUUAAUGGUGGAAUCAUUAAUUAAUUAUGAAUUAAUAAUUUUUUUGGACUAGAUUAUAUAAUUCUAUAUAGUAAAAUAAAAAAAUUUAAAACUUAAAACUUAGAAAAGAACUAUUAUAGAAUAUAGUACAAGUUGAGGGGCCUAAACUAAAUUUUCCCAAACUUUCCAAUCCCGCCUCAAUAUCCCUCAAUAUCCCUCGACUCCAUAAACCGUACGGCACUUCCCACCUAUUGUUUGCUCCGGAAGUUUCAUCUAGGGUUUUUUUUUCACUUUUUUUAUUUUUUAUUUUUUACUUCUCUUCUCUCCAAGUAAAAAAAAAAAAAAAAAAUCUCAGUUGUUCUUUCCGUUCUUCCAUCCGCAGGACAAAAAGGAGGAUUUUCUUCAUUGUCUUCUAGCAAGAAGGAGCCCAACAACUAGGACCCCACCAAGAAAACGGUAAAUUGAUUUCGAUUCUCUUUAUAAAAGUAUUUAUUUCAUUCUUUACCUUAAAAUAGAUAGGUUGAUUUAUACUUUUUUGAAAAAAAAUACUCUUUUUUUUAUUUUAAAUUUACUAGUUAAUAAUAGAUUUAAGUAUUUCUAGGUUGUAUGAUUAUGUAAAAAAAGUAAAAAAUAUAUAAUAGUUAUUUUUUUUUCUAAAGACUAGAUAAAAAAUUAGAUGGAACCUACAUUCAUCUAUGUCUUUACAUAUAAAAGAGGAUAAAGAUGACCUCUUUCCAUCUACAAUUUUUUAUUCCUAAAUAUAAUUGAAAAAUAAUAUUUAUUUUAACAAAAUAAUNAAAAAUGGUGGGGGAGGUGAGAACAUGUAAACAUGUCUCCCCUCCCAGUGGGUACCGCAAGCUGAUGAAGGCGAGGAGUACUCACCGGAUCAGGAAGAGAUAUAUAACAAUAUGGUAAAUAGAUACAGAUGCUGAUACGAAGAAACUACAGUAGCUAUAACAGAUAAAUGAGCAAUAAAUAAAACUGCUACUGUAAGAAAUACAAAGCUGAGUAUGCCUCAAGGUAACCAAACCAAAACUGUACCAAAUCUGGUACCUGCUAUAUUGGUUCGCAGACCUCAAGCGCUGCCUGUCACUGAUCUGCACCGACCUGAUUCACCCGCCCCACAGGACGACCGAUCCGGAUAAGCACACCUCCGGUCGGUGGCCAAACCGACCUGGUGUCGUGAAUACCCCCAAGUGCUGUGACUAAGUCAUGCUGGUAUGCUCAAUAUAAAAACCGGCUGAAGCCGGUGCCUAGGCCGAAGAUAGAAACAAGGGCGUACCACGCCGAACCACGAUCAACCAGAUCAACAGAUAUGCAUAUAUAUAAAACUAAUCUACUCCUGCAAAGAAUACUAAGCAUGCAAACAACGAGUAGAGUAUACCGAAAUAAUCAUGGGUGCAAGGCUCAAAAUAUACUAUGCGAUAGUAACAACAGAAGAGUAAGGGUAAGAAACCAUCACCGAGCGUGCACCACUGUACCAACGUCGGAACGAAGUACCCACCUGUCACUAUCGCGUCGGAAAACCUGGAUGCACACAAGUCGACCAGACUUACGAAGAUCCACUAGGUCAGUAUCCAACCCACUAACCUGAAGUACACAAUCUCACAAACCUCCACAAAAGAUCUCUGUAAUCGGUUUCCCAAAACCAAUCACCGUAACUCACCGAAAGUCCCGAGAACCACACUGGGACGCCGUCGGGACCCUCCUGAAACUCACCGACUCGUACCACGAGUCACCCGCUACCACAAAACACACCAAUUUGAAGGUCUUGGCAGCAAACACAAUGUAACACAACCUAAUAAUUAUCGUCGGAUAAUUGUUCGGAUCCGGGUUCCCAGAAGUGUCUAUUACGACACCGGAACCCACCGUCGCUCACUCAUCAUCACCGAACCCACAAUGUGAUGAUGGUGACCAGCCAACAAGGCUCAGCGACAAUUUACAGGACAACCAAACCACGUCGGAAGAAAUCCGAACCGAAACCGCGUUCUUUCGGCGAAUUUCGCCAAAAAACGUACCGAAAUCGACUCUUCGAUUUCCGCAAAAGCUAACGAAUCAUGGACAAUCAGUCCAGAGGUCACCACACAUGCCUACACACUGCCUACAGUAGCCACAAGGUGUAUAAUUGCACAAAAGCCCCUGUAUUUACAUAAAAUCCCAAUAUUUUAUGUAAAUCGGGCGAUAACAUGGCUCGUUUAUGCAAACCGAGGACUUUCAAGGUCCACCAAGACACGUACCAACAGGUCUCGAUGUACCGGAGGCCGUGCUCAUGGUCCGGAGCACAUCGGCUCACUGUGGGUGGUGCGGGGGCAACCCGAAGUUCUGCGAACAGCGCGCAGUCGGGGAAAAACGCACCAAACAGGACUAACCGGACUCUGUUGAUCUAAAGUGAGGCGAGCACUGUGAUCGGAACUGACCGAAGAUCACCGUGCUCACCUCCAGAGGCAUCAGGACAGCCUCGGAUCGCCGGAGAAACGCGCGCAAACCAGAAACCGUAGUAAAAAAGGCUCUACAGUGUCGACAUUGCCGAACAGUGGAACGGGGCCUUCCCGACAGAAACCAAGGUGAGCACGAUAAUCAAAAAUUUUCCAUGAUCAUCGUGCUCCCUUCCGUAGAGAAAGGGGAGGCUCGGGAAGCUCACAACAGAAAACCACUCAACUAAGCCCUAAUUCGGGCUUGGCCAGAGCAAACUUGCUCCGGCCGGCUUCCGGUGGCACGGCGAGGCACGCGCGGGACAGGGAUGGGUAUAGGGGAGGUGAGGAGUACGAGGCUCACCUCAGUUGGCGGCGGGGAGCGGCGGCGACGUCGGCAGAGCAAGCUCAGCCCACACGAGCUAAAGCUCGGGUUCCACAGCAAUGGCGGCCACGGCGGCAACCGGGAAGCUCCGGGACAGCGGUGGUAGGUUUCAGGAGGCCGGAGGGGUGCCUCAGGUGCGGCCCCGAGCGGCGGCGACGCAGGGAAGGAGUCGCGAGCUCGGCUCGGACCGAGCUUGCCUAGGGAACCUGCCAGGCGGCUGCAGCGCGGCGGCGGCGCUCGGGACGGCUCGGGGCGGCGGCGAUCGGCUAGGAUGGUUGCCUAGGCUCCGGGGAAGGUGGCUGGAGUGGUCUCAGGUGGCGGCAGGGCGGGGGAGAAGUCGCAUGCUUGCCUCAGCCUGGGCUCGGCCUAGCUAGUUGCAGGGUGCAGUAGCGGCAGCGGUGGCGCACCGAGGCGACGACGGUCAGCGGGGAGGCUUGCCAGGGCACAGGGGCGGCGCUGGAAGGGUGCAGGGAGGCGACUGCAGCCUCAGAUCUGUCCACAACCCGAGAUGAAGAAAGAUGGAGGGAGGGGGAUGGAGAGGGAAGAGAAAAUGGUGGCUGCAGCGGCAGUUGGCCGGCCGGGGCUCAGUCGGAGGCGGCCAGGGGUGUGCGGCUAAGGCAGGGAAGAGGGAUGAAGGUGGCUGGGGGUUAGCUCAAGCUAGGGUUAGGGUUCCAAGGUAGAAAACCCUAGAAUACAUAUAUAUAUCAAGGUGCAACUUUGCGAGUUAGGCCCCCAAACCUCAGUAUUUUAUACUGAGUCCUUCUCAGCGAGUGUAAAACGCGCGAACACACCUUCACGUCCGGUUUCACGCGAAACGAUACAUAAAAUAUCACAACUUUUGCGAAAAUACCGUUUUGCCAUCACCGACCUCUCCUCGAUCAACGCGCAAUCUCCGCAGAUCCGUCCGUCAGAUUUGCGAACGGAUCACACCAGUGCGAUCAGCACGACGGAGACAACAAAGCUAUCAUUUUGUUUUGCCUCGAUCCAUCGCGGAUUCACGACGAAAUCCGAUCCAUCUCUCCAACAAAAGAACUACGCACAAAUACAUAUAAAACAUGUAUUUUCAGAUUUUCUCGAAAUCCGUGCGUCAAACUCAAAAUUUGUCAGCGCCAAUAGUCCCAGAAUAGCUGAAUCGCUCGAAACGAGCUAUUGGAUUGCUAUGAACGGAGUCCGAUACGCGCUAGAAGCCAACUUCCCACCGUGACUUCUCCGGAAAACCGAGUUACUAUUCACUUUAAGUGAAACUUACAAAUCGCGUAGAAUCUCCGAUUUAACUCGUUUUCUCCCGAAACUUGACGAGUACCUUUGUAAUUAAAUUACACACAAAAACAUCAUCAAUUGAGAGUUUAGCUACACUGCAAAAAUCUCAGUCCUUACAAAUAAUGAAUUCGAAAUUUAAUUAAUUUACAUUUCUAGUUGAGUUCAUUUUUUUAAAAAAAAGAACAAGCGAAUUACUUAUUAUCUUACUCUGAAAGUAUAAAUAUUUACUAUCAUUUGGUGAUAGCUUUUUUUUUGAUAAAUUAAAAAAUUUAAUGUUAUUUAUAUAGAAUUUGGAUAUGUUACAGGAUUGACAUGGAUACCGAAUCUUAUCAUUAACCAAACUAUGAUGAUCAAGGGCAAAUUUUAUGAAAGCAUCAACUCCAUCCAUGUAUUGUUUUGAGAAUCUAUUAUUGAGAUUAAUCCAAGUCUUAUCCAUGUCAAUCCUGUAACAUAUCCAAAUUCUAUAUAAAUAACAUUAAAUUUUUUAAUUUAUCAAAAAAAAAGCUAUCACCAAAUGAUAGUAAAAUAUUUAUAUUUUUCAGAGUAAGAUAAUAAGUAAUUCGCUUGUUCUUUUUUUUAAAAAAAUGAACUCAACUAGAAAUGUAAAUUAAUUAAAUUUCGAAUUCAUUAUUUGUAAGGACUGAGAUUUUUGCAGUGUAGCUAAACUCUCAAUUGAUGAUGUUUUUGUGUGUAAUUUAAUUACAAAGGUACUCGUCAAGUUUCGGGAGAAAACGAGUUAAAUCGGAGAUUCUACGCGAUUUGUAAGUUUCACUUAAAGUGAAUAGUAACUCGGUUUUCCGGAGAAGUCACGGUGGGAAGUUGGCUUCUAGCGCGUAUCGGACUCCGUUCAUAGCAAUCCAAUAGCUCGUUUCGANUGAUUGUGUUCUAUUUUGGAAGGAAUUCAAAGACCAAAAUGAAUGUCCAGAGUGUAAAGAGUCUCGAUGGAAAAUCAAUAGUGGAAAAGGUAAGCAAAUUCCUCAAAAAAUCUUACGCUACUUUCCUUUAAAACCAAGGCUACGAAAAUUGUAUAUGUCGAGGAAGACAGCUUUGGACAUGAGAUGGCACGAGGAAAAACGAGUCGAAGAGGAGAAUGUUAUAAGACACCCAGCUGACUCCGAAGUUUGGAAAGAUUUUAAUAAACAGUAUCCAUGGUUUGCACAGGAUCCUCGUAAUGUGAGACUUGGUAUUGCAACCGAUGGCUUCAAUCCUUUCAACAAUAUAAGUAACUCAUAUAGUAUGUGGCCUGUUAUACUUAUACCAUAUAACUUGCCACCUUGGAAAUGCAUGAAAGAGCCAUAUUUCAUGAUGUCGUUACUGAUUCCAGGACCACGGUCACCAGAAAAAGAAAUUGAUAUAUUUUUACAACCAUUAAUUGAUGAGUUGAAGGAGUUAUGGGAAAUUGGUAUAAACACUUAUGAUGCCGUAAGCAAACAAAGCUUUCGCAUGCAUGCGGCAGUUUUGUGGAGUAUAAAUGAUUUUCCAGCAUACGGCGAUAUAUCUGGAUGGAGUACAAAAGGAUAUCAAGCAUGUCCAGUUUGUAAUGAAGACACCUAUUCGCAACGAUUACGAGGUAAGAUUUGUUACAUGAGUCACCGUCGUUAUCUACCCUCUAAUCAUGCUUGGAGAAAAAGUUACAAAUUUAAUGGUAAACAAGAACAUCAAUCUAAGCCUAAGGAACGAUCAGGGGAAGAAAUCUUGUCACAAUAGGAAGCUUUGAAAAAUUUUAAGUUGGGAAAGCAUCCGAACAAUAAAAAAAGAAAGCGCUCUCCAGAAGAACGUAAUUGGACCAAAAUGAGUAUAUUUUUUGAGUUGCCAUACUGGCAAAAACUUAAAUUGCGUCAUAAUCUUGAUGUUAUGCACAUCGAAAAGAAUAUAAAUGAUAAUUUAUUGGGAACUUUACUAAACAUUGAUUGAAAAACAAAGGAUACAGAGAAAGCCCGUUUAGAUUUGCAAGAUUUAAAAAUACAGAAAGAGCUACACUUGCAGCAGAAAGGUGACAAGCAUGUGAAGCCUCCUGCAUGUUGUCAUUGAAGGAAAGGCAACAGUUUUGUGAAUUUUUGAAAAAUGUAAGAUUUUCUGAUGGCUAUGCAGCAAGUAUUUCAAGAUGUGCGAACACCAAGGAAGGUAAAAUAACGGGCCUAAAGAGUCAUGAUUGUCACAUUCUUUUGCAACGAUUGCUUCACAUCGGCAUGCGCGGUUUUCUAAAUAAAGAUAUAUUUAAUAUCUUAAGUGAGUUGGCAAAAUUUUUUCGAGAAUUGUGUUCAAAAACAUUGAAGUUAGAUGUCCUAGAGCAAUUAGAAAAAAAGAUUGUUAUAAUACUAUGUAAAUUGGAAAUGAUCUUUCCGCCAGCUUUUUUUGAUGUUAUGAUCCACUUGGCAAUUCACUUGCCACAUGAGGCUCGACUUGGAGGACCUGUGAGUGAUGCAGGUAUAAUUUAUAUAUAUUAAUAUAAUCUGAAAUUGCUAACCUCAUAUUCAUCCUUAUCUUAAAAGUUUUUAACUUCAUUAUUAAUUGAUAUUAUAUCAAUUAAUUGAUACUUUUUGAAGGAUCCACAACAACUAGAAAGGUUCGUGGUCAAAAUAGAGGAUUAGAGUUAGAAAGACUUAUUCGCAAAACUGGAAAGUUGAAACUACUAAUUCCAGAAGGAGAGAAUAGGCCAGUUGGUGAUGACAGUUGCAAAUUAUCUAGAGAAAUUGGGAUAGUUGUAAGACAAUUCGCACCAAUCAAGAUAUCAGGUUGGCACGAAAUAGCAGAUGUCGACAAAUUAGCACUUUAUGAGCGUAUUGUGGUAAACACCUUGUAAAUAUCUAUUAUAUUGUUUUAUCUUAUUUGAUCUUAUUUUGGAGAUUUAUAACUACUAAUUGAAGUUUUAUGCAGGCAAAAUUUGAUUUGGAGUGGGAUAAAAAAAAUGUUAGGGAAUGUGUGGAAGAAAUGAUGAGUUUUUGAUAUAAAGACUUCCGCUAUCGAUGCCAUUUAUAUUAUGAGAAAUUAGGAGGAGGUGAAGCUGCUAGACAAUGUCCUCAUAAGGAUUUUGUUAAUAGAUCCGAUGAUUGGCUUUGGUUAUGUGAUCAUUUUGAUUCAGAAGCCUUCCAGGUAAUACAAUUUUUUAUUUCUUUAAUUUCAUGGUGAACAAUAAGUAUAUUAUUAUUUCGAUUAUUAUGAGUAAUACAAAAAUUUAUUUGUAUCUCUAUCAAAAAUAUAGUUAUUAUACUUCUUAAUAUAUUAAUAUUAAAAAUCAUAUCUUAAUUCUUUUUUACAGAGGCGUUCAACGGCCAACUCCAGUAAUCGAGGAAAAUUACCAUAUAUUCAUCGAGCGGGUACUAGGACAUUUGUGGCUACUCGACAUAAAUUGGUAUAUUUUAAAAUUUUGAAUCUAGCAUAAUUUAUUUUUCAUGAAUUAUACUAAUGUGUUAUAUUGUAACGCAGCAAUGUGGUGAGAUUGCCUAAUUCAAGGGAUGUUAUCAUAAUGGAAAAGGAUGGGCCAAUGAUGGGGCUAAGAAAAGAUAUGUUAGUUUUUACCAAUUUUGAAUAUAUGUUAAUAAAUUGUUAUGUAAAAGAUAUAGUUAAUAUUUUUUUAAACAGCAUAUGUAUUAGAUUAACCAUUUAUAUUAUUUCCUCUAAUUAUAGGAAACUAUGGUGAAUAUGCAAUCACAACCCCCUUCUGACGAGAAUGAAGUUCCUACGACUGAGCAAGAAAUUUGUGCUCAAGUACUUGGCACUAGAUAUGGAUACAUACCUGGGCGAGGUCAUGGUCCAAAACCCAAGUCACGACGUGAAGUUUCGGAAAAUCAAUCAUCACAGCUGCAAGAAGAAUUGACAAAUACAAAGACUGUUCUCGAGACCCAACAAUCUCAAAUUGAGACCCAACAAUCUCAAAUUGAGACUCAACAAUCUCAAAUUGAAGCUCAACGUAAAGAGAUUGAAUGGUUAAAGACUAUGGUGCAACAGAAUCAUUCAGAUGCCCAUCAAGAAAUGAAGAUUAUGGACCAUCUAUACGUGGUAAAUAAAAUUUUGCCACAAAAUUUUAUAUAUUUAUAAAAAUAAUUAUACAUAUUAACCAUCUUCAAAUAAAAAAUUUUUGUAAAUGAAAAUAACUAGUUUUUUUGCUUAAAAAAAAUAACAAAAUCAAUAAUAUUAAUUUAUUUAUCUAUUUUUUUAUCAUUUUAGUCUUUGUGAAAUUCUGUAAUAGAUUACUUAUAUAAAUAAUAAUUAAUAGGUAAACUUUAUUAUUCAUCAUUUUAUAAUUUUUUUUACUUUUGUGCAGAAAUAUGCGAGUGGACUACAUCAAAGCAAGCCAACUACAAAAUUUCUUAAAAUGGAAUGUUGGUGUUUUUGUUGAAAAAACUAGUAUUUAACCCGUGCUAUGCACGGAUAAUAUAAUAAUAUAAAAUAACAUAAGUUAUUAUGUGAUAAUAAAAAAAUUAUUCUAAUUAAUAUUAUAUUUUUUUUAAAUAAUAAAGAAAUAUACUAUUGAUCUUAUUAUAGUACAUAUUUAAAUACAAAAGCUAGAAGAAAAAAAAUUAUAGACCAAAAUAAAUACUCAAAUAAAAGUAAAUUUUAACCCUGUUCUAUAAUCUAUGAUUAAUCUGCAAAAUAAUUUUAUAAUUAUAAAUUGAUGUGCAAAACAAAAUGAUAACUAAAUUGAUAUUCAAAAUUACAAAUGACAUUAGUAUUUAAGCAUAUAAUGAAAUCAACUAAACUUUCAUAUUUGACACAAAUUAGAGUAAGCACACGUAUAUGAGAGACAAACAAAUUUUCAAGAUUCAAAAAUAUAUAGAUGUUGGUUUCUAGAAAAUAUAAGAAAAAAAACUUGUUGCCCAUGAAGAUAAAAAGUACCUGCUCCAAUAACAAAUAGAUAAAUUGUUAGAUAAGUAAAAUGACUAAAUAUCAUAAUAUUAGUGUAUUUUUUCAGAAAAAUAUCUAAACUUAUUUAAAAAAUAAAAUGACAGAAUUGAAUUGUUGAAAAAUUGUAAAUUUUGAAAUAACAUGAAGAAAAAUAAACCGCUCACCUAUUUUAAAUUUUGAAACACUUCCUUAAAAACCACAUUACUUGUGGUUUUGGAUAACAAACCAUCUUUAUCACAAAUUAGAAUAUUCAAUCCGUCCUUGUUUCGAACUCUAGAUAUUGCAACAUAUAACUGACCAUAACUGAAUAUCGGUCUAGGAAGAUAUAAGCCAACAUGUGAUAACGAUUGACCUUGACUCUUGUUUAUUGUCAUAGCAAAACAAACAGCCAACGAAAAUUGCCUUCGUUGCAUUUUAAAAGGUAACUUGGAGUCUGAUGGAGUAAUCACCAUACGGGGUAUAAACACCUUCUCCCCAAUAUUGCUCCCAGAGAUCACUUUUGCUUCUAGUAUAUGUUUUCCCAAUUGAGUGAUCAUUAAUCUGGUUCCAUUGCAUAAACCUAAAGACUUGUCUAUGUUUCUCAAUAACAUCACAGGAGCAGCUUGCUUCAAUUUGAUCAUGUGAUUAGGAACUCCUGAACAUUUAAUACUGUUUAAGAAAUCAGGUGUAUAUACAUCUUCAGGACCAUCUAGGCCCACAUCUGUCUUACAAACACUGUCAGAGCUCAAAUAAAUUUUUUCUUCACCAUGAAGCAAUGAAAGCAUGUAUUCAUUCACAGCAUCCACAAUUUCAAGAGUAGGAGCAAGAAUUGCUUUUUCUUGUAGGUAUUGCAAAUCAUGAAUAUUGCUUAACAAUGAAGGAUACGUACAAUCCACUAUUGAUGCAAUUGGAUUUGUUGAUUCCUUUAUGAGAAAUUCAGAAACUCAAAUUUUGUAUUGCGAAAUUUGCGAAAUUUGAGUUUAACCAAAAAUUUUAACUAACAAUACGAAAUUUGAGUUUACGAAAUUUGAGUUUGAUCAUUAUCUAGUUUCAAAACAACCAACCAUUUCAAAUAAUUCGCAAUAGAUUUUUCACAACCAAUAAAUUUAAAUAAUUAAUUAUCCGCAAAUACGAAAUUUGAGUUUGACCUUUUUUUCGCAACCAACCAUUUCAAAUAAUUCACAAUAGAUUUUUCGCAACCAAUAAAUUUAAAUAAUUAAUUAUCUGCCAAUACGAAAUUUGAACUAAUAAUUUUAAAUAAUAAUUCGCAAUAGAAUUUUAAAUAAUAAUUCGCAACAGAUUAUUGCGUGCCAAUACGAAAUUUACGAAAUUUGAGUUUGAUCGUUAUCUGCCAAUACGAAAUUUAGAUUUUAAAUAAUAAUUCGCAAUUAAUUAAGUAAUAAUUUAAAUAUCCAUAUUUGAGAUUGACAUAUUUUAAAUAAUAAUUCGCAAUUAAUUAAGUAAUAAUUUAAAUAUCCAUAUUUGAGAUUGACACGUGACAAGCAUAUAGAAAGCCACGUGUCAGCUUAAUUUUAAUUGACAAUACGAAAUUUAUACAAAAUUUAGAUUUUAAAUAAUAAUUCGCAAUUAAUUAAGUAAUAAUUUAAAUAUCCAUAUUUGAGAUUGACACGUGGCAAGCAUAUANAAUUUGAAGUUUAUACUAUUUUUUUUCAUCUUUUUUGCGCAUUGGUGGGGAAAACAAAAAAAAAAAUCCUCGAGCUGCUCAAUCAUCAUAUGAAGAGUGGUCGAAUGUCUUUAUGUUUAGUAGCUUUAUUCUUGUAAUCAAGAGGUCUAUUUUAUUUCAAAAAUUCAUUAAUGAUUGGAAACUUUUUAUCUAAAAAAAGGUGAUGUAACAAGUAUUUAUUAUAAUAAAAAAUUGAUACAUGUACAUUCUAAGGUAGCUAGCGUACGUUUUACACCCUUAUUCUAAAGUUUAGAAAAUUUGUUAAACUUCUAAUUUUUUUUUUAAAAAAAAAUGCUUGGUAAGAAUAUUAGGGCUAAUUCUUGACUUUGAACAAAAGGAUGUAAGAUGUACACUUUCUUGUGAAAUGUACAUCUUGGCCUCCAACCGUUAAUCCGUUUGUUUUUGUUGAUUUUGAAAGUUGAACUUGUGGCUUCAAUUAAAGAAGUCGUCAGAGUCGACAUUUGUUUCAAUAAUGAAGUCACGAGAAUCAUCCAAAUUUCUACUCACAAUUGUAUAUAUAUGAUCGGACUUUUGAUCUCGUUGGGUUGGAUGCAUGGCGAAGUCAAGUUUGCAAACUUGCAUGUUUCUCGCUCUCUAUUUUUUUGGUUCCCAACAGAGAGCCUGGGUGAUAAUUAUGUACAGGAAAUUAACUACUUAGUCUAGUAGCCUAGCUACGUGAUAUAUAUGUACUAAGAGGAAACUACGUAGUUUAGUAUGCAAAAUUUGAGAGGAGCUCAUGCAAGAAAAUAAAAUAAACCGUAUGCGGCGAGUUUUCUAUAUAUUGAGGCAACAAGUGUCGCCGCAAAAUUGUGAGAAAUAUUUGGGCUGCUAGGAAAUCUCAUUUUGCGGUGACCAUACAUGCAUGUUGUCGCAGAUACGUACAACUUUCUUCCGUAUGGUCGAGACUAUUUGGUGGCAACGGCGGCCCGCGCGCACCGGUGGACGUUGCAGGGGCAGCCUGCAAUGUACGUUGCUCUUCGGGCAACCGCAAAUAUAUACUUAGUGCCAACAGUACGUCUUGUUUUGGACAACGCAGUUUGCUUAGAGAGUAGGACAUUUUGUCGUUCUUUGGAGCUAUUAGUUAAUAGCUAAUACUAAAGUACAUCUUUUCUUGUCCUAAAUAGAUUGCAAUUAAUCUGUGAUGUGGAAAAAUAGCAUUAAUUAAUUGCACCAUUGGUUCCAGAUCUUGUGUACAGCUUCUAAACUUCUAGAAACAUAAAGUAGUUGGUAUUUUUGAUUUUUUAGCACUUGAAUUAAGAACUAUAGAGUUGGGAUGAUAAUGAUCUCCCUUGGAGUUUAGUGGUCUCUCUAGAGUUUAGUGGUCCCUCUAAAGAAAUAAUAUUAAUCUAAAAAUUAGAAAUUGUCAAAAAUUUGAUCCAAGAGUUAAAAAAUUACAAACACCACAUAAAUUUCUAGAAGAAUAAGAGUAUUUUGAUUAGUUUAUUAAGGCUGCGUUUGUUUCGGGUAGAAAUAAGAACUGCUUAUUUUUGGGAUAGAUACAUGUUCAAGUAUAAGAGCAUGAAUUAGAGUAAAUUUUUGUUUGGAUAAAAAUUGGAUUGUUUCUGAAAAUAAGAUAAAUAGUAUUUAGAUGGUUAAAUUGGAAUAUCAGGAAUAAGAGUAAUUAUAAUUUUAAAUUAAAAAUAUUUUAUCUAAUUAAUUAACGUCAAAAUAUUAACAAAAAAUAAUUUUAAUAAAAUAAUAAUUUUAUUAGCUAUGACUAUUGUAUAAGAUAAUAAAAAAUAUAUUAAUAUAUUAAUUAAUUAAUUAAUAAAAUAUAACUUAACUUUUUAAUUAUUAGUAAAUUAUUUGAUUAGUUUAAAAAAUUUAAUUUAAUUUGUCAAAAUAUUAAUUAGUUGACCGAUAUAGAUAUUAGUUAUUAGAUAAACACAUUAAAUACUUAAUUUUUGAUAAGUUGAUGAAUCAUAAACAUUAAAUUAAUUAAUUACUUAACUAUUUAAGUAAUAGAUAAUGACUUAAAUAUAUUACUUAGAUUAAUUAACAAGUUAAUAGAAUGGUCAAAAUUAAAUUUAAGCUUUAAUUAAGCUUAUUCUCACGUGGGAACAAGGUUGUUCUAGUGAGGAGGGUGGAACUUAAUUAUUUCUCCUUAUUCCUCUUUGUUCCUAAUAAAUGGGAACUACAGUUCCCAUUCUCCAAAAAUAUCAUGUGGAGAUAAGAGAGGAAAUAAGGGCCUAUUUCCCUGCUUAUACCCCAAUCAAACACAAUCUAAAUAUUUGGAUUAAAUUUGUAAAAUUCAGAAAAACAACUCGUUUUUGCGAAAGGGGAGAACUAGAGGUGUCAACGAGUCGAACACGAGCGAGCUAGGGCCGGCACAUGUUCGGCUCGUUUAAUAAAUAAGCGGAACACGAGUUGACUCGUUAAAGUAUCGGACCAAAAAAUUCAACUCGUGUUUGGCUUGUUAAUAAAUGAGUUGAGCAUGAGCUGGCUCACGAACUGGCUAAUGAACAAUAAGUUAAAUAGAUUAGAUUUGAUAUAUAUACAAAACAUAAAUUUAUAAAAUCUUACCCAUUAAACUUUGGUAUUAUGGUUGAAACUUUACAUAUAAAUGAGUAUUUUUAUAAUUAAUCUCGAUUUUAUAUACUUUUUUCGGCUAAAAAUAUAAUAAUAAAAAUAUAUAUUAUAUAUAUAUAAGUAUAUAGUUAUAUAUAUAAAUAUAUAUAUAAAUAUAAAAUAGAUGUAUUUGAGUUGUUAUCGACCGGAUAUGAGCGGGCUGACCCUAGCUCAUAUUUGGCUGUUCGUGUUCGACGUAAACGAGCGAUUCGAUUUCGAGCUUCUUUCAACCAGAACACGAGCUGGGGCUCACAGUCUAGAAAGAACUGAUUGAUUUUUUUUUUAUUACAAAAGCCUAAUUUUUUUAAAAAAAAAAAUCUAAAAAGAGUUGAGGAGGCAAAAUAAAUAAUUGAUUUUGUUGAGAAGAUAAGAAAAAGAGUUGACGAUGCGAGAUAACGAUUGGUGGGGGAGUUUAAAUUGGUCGCCACGAAUCCACGUGUCGUUGUCCUUUUAUUGUCAUUUAUUAAAGUCCCCACAAUGUUCGCCACGCGGACAGGAACAAACUCGAACCACGUGAACAGGAAUUGUUCAGCGACUACCACGUCAGGACACGUGUUGAAACUCCGCUGGAAGCAAAAGUGAUAAGAACAAAAUGAUCCGUAUGUAUCAAUCACGUUGUGAUACUGUUUUAUUUUACUUUAUUUUAUUUUUUGACAAUGCAUCUGACUGAAGCUCUAAACUCUUUUUAUGGUUUUUUUUUUUUUAACUCAUUUUGUUUAUUUUUUUUUAAAAUUUUUUAGUUGAAUUAAUAAAAUAACUAGAUUUUAAACUUAAAAUCUCCCGCAUCAAACAUAAAAAGCUCUUUAUAUAGUUUUUUUAAAGGGAAAGAUACUACGGUGCUCAUUUCAUUUAUUUUUAAAAAAAAUUUAGUUGAAAAAUAUAAAAUAAUUAUAUUUUAAACUUAAAAUCUUAAGUGUCAACUAUUGAAUUUUUUAUCAUCUGUGUUAAGUUGAUUAAAUUGUCUAUAGUUACCUUUUGGCUCUAGAGGAGGUUUGGGUACUUUCAGAAGCAAAAAAAUUUAUGUUUUUAGAAAUUUUUUUUUAAUAGAUAUAUUUCUUUUCCAUAAUUUAUAUUUUUUACAUGAAAAAUUUAGAACAUAAAAAUAUUUUUUUUUAUAAAAUUUGAUUUUACUUUAGUAAAACUAUUUUUCCUCUAAACUAAAUAAAUACAAAAUAAUUUUUUUAGUCAAAAAAUUAUUUUCUGAUAUAUUUUUCUAAAAAUUAAACACUCCCAUAAAUUGAUCCAGGACGAUCAAACAUUUCAGAUAAAUUUCAACCGUUGCAGAUAAGACGGAGGCCGUUCCAACUAUUUCAGUUAGGAUAAGAAUCGAGAUGAUUCCAACUACUUCGGUUGCAGAUAAGGCGGAGGCCGCUCCAACUAUUUCGAUUAGGACAAGGACUAUUUCGAUUAGGAUAAGGAUUGAGAUAAUUCCAACUAUUUUGGUUAGGAUAAAGAUAAAGUUGUUAUUUUUAAAAUAUUUUGUUUUUAUCUAUUUGUAAUAGGAGCCUUACUGGUUCUUGUAAAAUCACUCCAGUGUAGAGAGAAUUAAUAUAUAGACUCUUCAACAUAAAAAUAUUGUGUUCUUUUUUUUUUUUAAUAUGUUUUCAGAUAUCCAUCGGAAAGGCGCUGCGAUAUUGCUUACUCCUCCGACGGAUCAGGUGGUAUCAAAGCAUUUGACCCUGGUGCAUGGUGCGAACCAGAAGCGUCUACAAAGCUACUAGCGAACAACUCUUCGUCCUCGACAUCUUCCGUAAGCCACUGACGAGGAAAACGAAGAGUACACCUACCAUGUCUACGGACGAGCAGAUAAUGACGCCAUCCGACCUUGCCGCCAAGAUCACCGCGCUGUCUAACGACAUGAAGACCGUCUUAGAUUGGAUUAAGGCCCAAUCUGCAGCACAAUCGGCAAUGCCGGUGGAGAAGAGCGGUCGGCUCGUAGAAACUCCUCGAAAGGCGCGUGUGACGUCGGUGAAAGGCGCUGUCGAGGAUACCUCAGGUGUGCGAGAUGACGAUAACUCCGAUGAUGACGGAAGUAUAGCGCCGUCGGUUGCAGAAAUGAGGUUGAAACCGUUUAAGGUUGAGGCCAAGAUCGAGAUCCCCAACUACGACGGUAUUGUCGACGCUGAAAAGUUGGUUGCCUGGCUUGACCAACUGGAGAUGUACUUUGACCUCUGCAACUAUAGUAACGCGGAAAAGGUAAUUUUCGCAAAACUAAAACUUGUAGGUCAUGCAUUGACUUGGUAGAAGGCCACUCUCCAAAUAUCCGCCAAUGAGGAUUUCACCUGGAGUCAGUUUAAACGACUGAUUCGUCAGGAAUUCUGCCCUACAGGAUAUGAAGAAGAGCGAUGGAAGUGCUGGCAUGUCUUGCGCUAAAGGCAUGACCAGACAGUGCAGGACUAUACCACCGACUUUCGGCGCCAAGCCUUGGCGCUUGGCAUCUCCCUCGAUGAUCCACAGGUUUUUAGUAAAUACACCGCAGGUCUACAGGAGCGCAUCAAUGAUGAGCUUCGUUUCUUCGGUAUUCGUGAUAUCGCCUCGGCGAGUCAAACAGUUAUGGCGAUUGAGCGGAAGAACAAACUGUCUCGUGGGGAGAAACCAUCUAGAGAGUCUGCUAAAGGCUCGAACAAGUUCAAAAAGAAUGGCUCUAAAAAUAUGGGGUCAUCUGAUCCUGAUUUGUACUAUGAUUAUUGUAAUGUCACAAGACAUGUCAAGGAUCGAUGCUGGAAGCUCCAUCCAGAGUUGAAAUCAAAGAAUAAGGAUGAUCGUGGAAAACGCACAAAUAGUAACGGCAACGACAACGGCAACGGCAAUGGCAACGACAAUGGCAGGAUUGACAAGUGAUGCUCCUACCUUAAACCGACGGAUUGAUCAAGCAGAUACUAGCUUAUCUUUGAUGGCUAUGCCGAAGGAGACAAGCCUGUGCCCGUCAAAUCCGACUGAUAAGAGAGAGGAGUUGUUCACUUUUCGAGUUCAAGUCAAAAAUGAGGUGAUCGAUGCCAUCAUCGAUCCCGACAGCUAAAAGAACUUGAUUUCGGAGAACCUAGUUCAAAGACUGGGUUUGUCGACUACACCACACCCACACCCAUAUCCAUUAGGGUGGAUUAACAGCAACAUUGAGAUGAAGAUCGAUCGCUAGUGUAAGGUGAAGUUUGUAGUGACCGGUGUCUACAUCGACGAAAUGUUAUAAGAGUUUGUGCCGUUGAAUAUUUGCAACCUCAUCUUCGGCAGUCCCUACCAAUAGGACCGUGACGCUACUUUUUUUCGUCAUCCUCAGUAAUACUAAUUUAUUAAGGAUGGACAAAAAUUUUUGCUCACCACAAAGUCAUUGUCAACAACUGUCGACCUGGUAACCACUUGUCAGGCCAAGAGGAUAAUCAAUGCUUGUCAAAAGUUUGCCUUACUAGUCAUUCGGCCAGUUAUCUCUAAGGAGGCAAACAACAAGAUAUUAAACUUAGCAUGAAAGGAAAAAACUGAUGAUGUAGCCAAACUGAUCGGCGAGCAUCAUGAUCUGUUUCAAGAAGUACAGGGACUGCCACCAAAGUGAGCCGUAGAACAUGAGAUCCAAUUCAUCAGUGACGCUUCGUUAUCGAAUCUUGGCAUGUACCGAAACUCGGUGGUGGAGAAUGAGGAGAUAAAGCGACAGGUGACUGAGUUACUCGAGAGUGGUGCUAUCAAACCGAGUAGCUCCCCCUGUGGCUCCCUGAUCGUGUUGGUGCCAAAGAAAGACGGCGGGUGGCGAAUGUGUAUCGACCGCCGCGCCCUCAACAAAAUCACCAUCAAGAACCGGUACUCCUUAUCGUGGAUCGAUGAUCUUUUGAACUAACUGAAGCAUGCUCGCUACUUCACCAAACUGGACCUAAAGUCUGGCUAUCUUCAGGUCCGGAUCCGAGAGGAUGAAGCCUGGAAAAUCGUGUUCAAGACUUGACAAGGCUUGUUUGAAUGGCUCGUUAUGCUAUUCGGCCUUUGCAAUGCAUCAGCUACUUUUAUGCGAUUGAUGAACGACGUUCUAUGCCCAUUCCUUGAUGAUUUCGUGAUCGUCUAUCUUGACGACAUCCUCAUCUACAGUCGAUCGUGGGUGGAGCAUCUGGAGCAUGUCAAGACAGUUGUAUAUAUGCUACAAGGAUAUAAUGCUCGACAUCCCAAGACUUGGGAUGAGAGUCUUUUAUAUUUGCGGUUCGCGUUCAAUCGAGCUAUACAUAGUUCUACUGGCAAGACUCCCUUUGAGGUGUGUAUGGGUUACUUAGCAAGCCCAUUCGACUUAGCACGGUUAAGCAAUCGCAAACCACCAAGGAGGAAAAUGGAAUAGCAAAGGCACAUCGCUUCUUGGAGAGCAUUAAGAAAGUGCAUAGCGAGGUGGAGUGACAACUUCAAAAAUCUCACCAGAAGUAUAAAGAACGACAUGAUCGACAUUGAGUGAAAGACGACUUCCAAGAAGGUGAUUUCAUCUGGCUCCAUCUCAAUAAAGGGCGCUUGACAAAGUGAGGAUAAGAAACUUAAACCCAUUCGUUAUGGACCUUUCAAGAUCCAAUGCAGAAUUGGUGAGAAUGCUUAUCAAUUGGAGUUGCCCGCAUACAUGAAGAUGUAUUCGGUUGUCAAUGUUGAAAAUCUAAAGUCUUUCUAACCGUCAAUGCUGGACGAUGGGUCCGAAAAAAUAUUGCUAACCGUGGAAGAGCUUGUGGUAGAACGCGAAGAGCCGCUAGCCUAGGAUACUAUUCUGUAACGUAAAAUCACAAAGACAUGCAAAGAUGAACGUGAAUCCUUCUAUGUCGGAUGGAAAAGUCAAAAGCCAAGUGCCGCUAAGUGGUUCACAAGGAAAACUUGGAACUCAGUUUCCUCACUUGCAAAUCUAGAUCCAGCAGGUGCUGGUUCUUCUCAAAAAAUUGGGAAGUUAUAAUAUGAGACGAUCAAACAUUUCUGAUAAGUUUCAACCAUUACGGAUAAAGCUGAGGCCAUUCCAACUGCUUCAGUUUGGGAAAGAAUCGAGAUGAUUCCAACUAUUUCGGCUGCAGAUAAGGUGGAGGCUGUUCCAACUAUUUCAGUUAGGAUAAGAAUCGAGAUGGUUCCAACUACUUCGAUUAGGAUAAAGAUAAAGUUGUUAUUUUCAAAAUAUUUUAUUCUUAUUUUCUUGUAAGCCUGAAGGCUAUAAAUAGGCGCUUUUAUUAAUAAAAUGGUCAUUACUAGAUAGUGUACAUUCAUGAAAAUGAUAUAGCCUGCUUACUCAUGUAAAGUAGGUCAUUUACCUGUUGCAUACCGUUAGUUGUGUUGGAGGCAUAGUAAUUUUAAUAUUCACUAGUUGCUUACUGUAUAUUGACUAAUAGUUCUCACGCCCUAUUUGUUGUUGUUUUAUUUACAGAGCCAUCCACAGCGGGAGAGGCUAGGGAUCGGGAUAAGGGGGUCGCGUCUAGCUAGGCAUAGCUCGGAGUCCUGCUAGGUGGUUACUCACCUUUUUGCUAGUUGAAGAGUGUUGUACCUAUGGUAUAGAGACUACCCCAUGUACUUUGUAAUUUUUUUUAGACCGUGGGAUGUGUAUAUUACAUGGGAGUUGUUCAUGUUAGUAGUUUACUUUCUUUUCUACACGCUUUUAGAGUAUUGUAUGUAUCUUAUGCUAUGAUAUCGUGUUAGAUGUUUCAUUCCCUGGUACUUUUUCUAACAUGGUUACUAUAGACGUCUUGUAUACUUCAGGUAUAUGGCGGGUCUGUGCACGUACCGGGUAGGUUUCUGCUGAAGUCCGGACAUGACAAUUAUUUUUAAAUAUUAUAGAAAAAUCUAUUUUUUAUAUGAUAGUGUAAAUUAUUAUUUAUAUUAUUUUUAUCUAUUUAAAAGCAUAAUUUUAAAUAUAUAUAUAUAUUUGCAAAAUAAUUUAGAAUUAUCGGCAUUUAUUAGUGUCGGAGAUGAUUAAAAAUUACAAACAUUUAAAUAAUGUCGGUAAUAGCCAUGUCUAUAACGGCAUUUGUUUAAUGUUACUAAUUACUUAUCAUUAACGGCAAUCUAUUUAAAUACCCGUAUAAGAUUUACCAACACGAGUAUAAGCGGCAUUAAAAUCUUAAUGCCAUUAAUAGUUUUUGGAGUAAUUUUUGGACUCUAGGCGGUAAUAAUUCAAUGCUGCUAAAUCAUAAUUUUUUUAUAGUAAUAUAUUGAGAAGUUUGAAAGUUUGUUCACUAGUUCGGAAAAAAAAUCUGCAUUAUGUCAAGAAUGAAAUAUAGAAAUAGAUCAAAAUACAAAUAUUAUUAAUUGAACAGUAAUUUUGAGAAACAACCGUAAAGUAUAUUUGUUCCUAUAACCUAAAUACUAGAAAACAUAAACUAUAACGUAAUAAUGCACACAAAAACUAAAAAACAUAAACAUUAUAAAACAUUCUACCUUUUCUUUACCUCUAAACCUCUUUUACGCUUUUGGGUCAUGAUGGUAGGUUUUGAUCAAAAUUCGCAAAUUUAUUGAGGUCAAUAUCGCGCAUAACAUUGCUUUAAUUCCGACCAUGAUCGGUCGCAGCAUUGCUUUUCUUUCGAUGGUCAUCAAACACAUCAUUGCUUUCUUUCUGACUGUGAUUUGAUAAGCUUUACUUCUGACCGCAAUCGGAUGCAAUAUUGCUUUCCUUCUUACUGUGAUCGAAUGUAUCAUUGCUUUCCUUUUGGCUGCGUUUUGGUACUAGAAUUUUGACAUAUAGUGGCAUUAUUUAUAGCAAUAUUUAUUUAAAUAUUGCUAAAUACAAAAUAUAUUGGUAUUUAUAAAGAUUGUUGCUAAAUAUGUUAUAUAUAGGCAUUUAUAAUUUAUUAUUAGUAAAUAAAAAUAUUUAGCAAUAUUUAUUUUUAAAUGCUAGUAAAAGAUAAAUUAAACAUUGACAGUUAUUUUUAGAGCCGCUAAGAGGAUUUAAUUGUCAGCAUUUAAAAUUAAAUAUUGGUAAAAUGUCUUAAAUCCUAUCUAUCUCAAAAUAACGUGGAUUCCUAAAUAUUUUUCCUUCCCACCUCAUUCUUCCGCCUCACCCCUUUAGGUUUUAGUCCGAUCAUUUUCUCCUCAUUCUUUUUGGGUUUAGUCCCAAAUAUCUUCCUCCUCCUCCUUUUAGGGUUUAGUCCCGAUCAUCUUUCUCCCCUACUUUUUAGGGUUUAGUCGCAAUCAUAUUCAUCCUAAAUCAUGGUGUAAUCAGGUAUGCUUUCUUUGAUCCUUUUUAUAGGUAUCUCUAAUCCAAGAAAUACUUAAUAGUAUUAUUUCUCUAUUUUUAUGAAUUUUAUUUUUUUAAAAUAAAUUUUAAUGAAGUUUUAUAGUAUAAUAGCAUUAGAACACUAUAAGAUAAAGGAUUUUGACGCACCAAUGUAGACGAUAUGGUGGCGACAAAUAAAUGUUGCCGCCAUCGCCAAUAUAUAAACAAUGGUGGUGACAACUAUACGUCGCCACCAAUAUUUAAUAAAUAGCGGCAUUAUUUUGUUGCAGGAAAAAGUCGAAGCAGUUGUGGCGACUAUUCUCGCCGUGGAAUAUUUCCAUACGUCCCACCAUUACUUCCCUCUUUUUUUUUCACCAACCAGCGCCUUCUUUUUUUUAUUUUUGGACCAUUAUGCCCUUAUUUAUUCUAUAUGUUGUGUGUGUAAAUGGUUGUACUAUUUUGUCUUUUGACAAAUUAAAAAUAGGUAAAUAAUAUGUACAGGGAAAAAUCCCUAAACCCCAAAUCCCUAACUUCCUGUUGAGCCACUUUUGCUCCCCCACCUUUUUUCGGCAACCUUGAAUCUGUCAUGCUCUCUUGCCUGCGAGUCCUCUUCUUCUCUUCCUCUUACUCUCCCUCCAGACGCUGGGGCUGCAGAAGCACCACUGCCGCCGCUUUGCCUCCCAAUCCCACUUCCAAUCUUUACUUUGGCUCCAGCACAUUGCUCCGUCCUCAGAGCAGUUCCUUCGCCACCACACAAAGGCAUGAUUCUUCCAUUUUAGCUGCUACUCCUGCAGUUAAAUUUGAAGAUUCUAACCCAUAAAGCUAACCUAUCUAGAGGUUCUUUCACCACCCGCCUCUUCUUCUUCUUUUUUUCUUCUUCUUCUUCCCUGUGCAUUAGCAGUUUUUUAGAAAACAAAUAAGAUAAGAAGCUGUAGGUUGAAAGGGUUUUCCUUUUUUUUUUACUUUCUUUUUUAUGCUAAAAUUUAGGAUUUAGUUACUUAUAGUUGUUGGGAUAUUUUGAUCCUUGAGCAUUAAUUCAUUAUAUUUUACUGUCAUUUAGAAGAAUUACUUACUACUACAUAAUAAUAGAAGAGUAGAAAGUGAAGGCGAAGCUCCGAGCAGACAAGACGAUGGAGAGUGAUGAUGCGGGGGUGGCGGGAGUGGAGGUUCACAAGAAGCCUGGUAUGGCGACGUUCGCACUAGCACUAGCAUAACCCAUCAUCUUUGACUUCACAAAUCCCUCUCCCCCAACCAAAAAAAAAGAAAAAAACCAAGCAUUUAAGUUUUAUUUCAUGAGCAAUUGAAAUUAAAUUCCUAUUAUUAUUAUUAUUAUUAUUUAUUUGUUUCAAAUUUGGCAUUAAUUUGUGGGUGUUGCGGCUAAUAUCUGGAGAGUUCAUCCUAGAGAGGGCCCUUGAGCUCUAGGUCAAUGUGGAGGCGUUCGUAGCAGAGGCAGUGCGCUUCUAUGUCUCUCGGCUUCGCUGACCGUUAUACGAAAAAUCGGUCUUCACUUGAUUUUUGGACUUGGCCUUCUCUUUAAAUUUUAGUUCGUUUUCAAUCCAAGGUCAAAACAAAGUUUUUUCUCUGUAAAUUUUAGAAGUUUGUCCUUUACUUUUUAUUGUCCUUUAAAGUAUAAAUUAUAGUGUGGUGACAAAUUAAAAGCUUUAAAGAAAAUGCUAUUAGUUGGUAAUCCUCUUUGUGAAGUUGAUUACUUGGUAAACUUUCAAUGAAAAUUUUGUUUCGUUGUACUUUCUCUCACGCUAUGUUGUCUUUUCUUAUUUGUAUUUUUUAGAGAAAUGUAGCAUGCUACCCGCUUCGUUUAUUUCAUUUAGAAAUAAACUUAGCUGGAAAUGUGGAUCAACUAGGAUUCAAACUUGGGUCUCGGGUACCUACCACCAAGCCCUUUUGCCACUUGCGCUAGGGAUCCUAUUUGUGAUUUCCAAAAAUGGAGGACAACUAUCUAAAAGCAAAGAGGAUAUCACGGCUAGUUUAAAAAAUCUAGGGGUAAUUGCUUGCUCGUCUAUUUUCCUUCUUAAUUGUUCUUGUGCAGAUAGAUGUAGUAUAUUCUAUUUGAAACUUAAAUACAGUAGGUCUUAAUCUAGUUAUAGCUUUCUAUAUUCCAUACAGAUUUAAAAAAUAGUAACAAGCCUAUCUAUUUUUACUGUGUUGAUCCAUAAUUUAUGUCUGUGAUUCUUGAAUCUCUGUUUGUGAUUAUAGUGAUCAAAUACAUGUGAUUGUUUUAUAAUAAAUGGAUAUAGGCUCUACUUUCAUUUGACAUGUUAACUAAUAACGAAUACUAAACUAAUGGCUGUAAAGAUCAGAAACAUCAAUUGACUAGUGCCUAUUUGCCUUGGCUGCUAGAAUCAUUUCUUUUAGAACCAGUAGCAAGAAGUCUGACAAAUGGUUAUUUUGUUGCUUCUGCUGCUAGGAAGUUGAGUUUAUCUUCUGAAAAACUCACAAGUUGAAUUUGAUCCUUAAACAACCACUUAUCAUCAAUAAUUGGGCAAAAAAUAAUAACUAUUGCAAAAAAAAGUAGAGACAAUUAUGAAAAAGAAGAAUAGCUGUAAUUUUUCUCUUCUUAUUGUCACAUUCUCAUCUAACUACCUUAUUUAGACAACUAUACGGAGGCAAAAAGAAAGGCAAAUUGCAUUGCAUUAGUUGAAUUAUACAUUAUUUGCUAUAAUGAUAUUAUUUUUUUCUCUAUAUGUUUAUAAAGAGUUGAUGACAAAAUUUUCUCUUCUUUCUCUAUAUGUUUAUAAGUGACGACAAAAUAUUUUGGUGACAUUUUGGCAAUAUAUAUUAAAGCAAGUUUAGAAACUUAGACAUAUUAUAACAAAUGUAUAUUUUUAUUCUAUAUGAGCUAAGAGAAGUAUUAUACUUUUAUCCCAACUUUCUAUUUUUUAAAUGUGAGUUGGAUGAUUGUAAUGUUACAGUGAUACUUAAACUUUUUUUCCUAGGACAAUCUUAGUUCCUUAUUUAUUUUAUAUGAUCAUAUUUAUUCUUCAAAACAUCUUUAAUUUGAUUCAAUUUUAUUUAUUAUAGACAUUUUACUAUUGGAGUCAUGGUGCUCAUAUUUAAUUUGAUCUUGAAAGCUGGAUGCUGCCAGCAUUUGAAAGAUGGUAUCUUUACAACACACAAUUAACAUCGACUAUAAUCACCAUCAAAAAAUAAAAGAAUUCUAGUAAAUUGUUCAUUGUCAAUAGUGGCGCUAAUAGUCGACGUCCUUUAUUUGAACUUCUAGCGGCGAUAUGGUGUUGCCAUCUUUUAUUCAAAAUUUAGUGGCGACGAUGUGUCAUCGUCUUUUAUUCAAACUUUUUGUGGUGACAAACUACCGCCGUAUUUGAUUCAAACUUUUAGUGGUGACAUAGCAUUGCCAUUAUGUGAAAACUUUUAGCGGCGACACUCCAUUGUCACUAAAUACUUUUCCCGGCAGGCUUUUAGGUGGCGACGUGCAGCGACAGUUUUGUUGCUUGCAUAACGUUUUCAUGGCGAUAUUUUGGCUUACGGCGGUGACAAUGGUCACCACUAUAUCCGUUUCUUGUAGUAGUGAAUUAUCAUGGGUUAUAUCUGAAAAUGAAAAGUUUUUUGUUUAUUUUUUAUUUAGUCAAUAGAAUGAAAUCAUAUUAUGUAUAUGUUUAUUUUUCUAUAGCAUAUAGAGGGAUUUCGAUCAUUUUUUUGACUUUUUGUUGUCAUUUAUGUUGAAAAGUACUUUUUUUUUAUUAAUUGUAGAAUAUUUAAAAUCCAUUAGGGUCCGCAAAUGGUAAAUUUUAUCAUGUGUACUAGGUAGUCUUUCACCACACCGUUACAUGCAUAAAUAAUAUUCUAUUUGUAUAGCCAUUUGCAAAGAAAACCAUAUUGUAUUAAUUUUAAAAUAAAAAUUUACAUAAUAACUCUUAACGUGUUCUGAUCGUGAUCGGGUGCAACAAUACUUUCCUUCAAACCAUGAUCAAGCAUAGCAUUGCUUUCAUUCCAACUGUGAUUUGGUAAAGUAAUGCUUUCUUUGGUGACUCGCUGAAAGCUUGUCCCGAUGCAAAUAUUUGGCCACACUUUUUACAAUUAUGUACCCCCAAAUCCGAUCUCUUCAAAGCCGUAUCGACCAUCGGCUUCUCGACAUGGCUCAGUUCAUCUUCAUUUACUUCAUUUGUAGUAAAUGCUUCAUCCGUGAUGUUCUUGCUUUUAUUGUGACUUGCCAUAUGACCGCCUAAUGCUUGAUGAGUAGAAAUAAUUUUAUUGCAGACACCACACUAAAAAGAUCUAGCUAAUUUCGUAGUCUUCUUUUUCCUUCUUUUUAUCAUACUAGACAAUGGUUGUAAGUGCUAUUCUUCAAUAUAUUCCUUGUCAUCAUCUUUGUCUAUUGAUCACUAGAAUGAUCCUCACCUUCAUAACCCUCUUCAUUCCUCGAACAUUUGUCUACGGUCUCUUCCUUACCCUUGAUAACUCUAAAAUCGUCUCCUAUGUUUUUCCUUUUCUUCUUAGGUGAUCUAUAAGUUUCUUUUUCACGAGAUGGACAAGUUAUCACAGCACUGCUUAGUAGUAUACUUAUGAUUACUCUUUGUAAUCUCUUUAUUUUAUAAAUUAAAUAAGAUGAAUGAGAUAGUGGCGGAAAAAUCACCUUACCGCCCUAUCCAAAAAAUAUCACACUAUAUUUUAUUAAACCUCUAUUCAUCCACCAAUAAAUAUUCAAGGAGAUGCCCCCCGUCCGCCUACUACCUUUGAAACACCCAAUCCCAACCCAACCAUUAAAUCACUCGUGACAAUCUUAUGUUGCUCUAGUAGGAAUGUGCUUUCUUCUUAGUGCCCGACAUUGUGGACACAAUAUGCGGGCAAAGAAGCCAAACCCUCAAUGCUACUGUUGAAACUCAGCAGCCUCAGUCUUAAAGUGUACCUGUUGUCUUGCACUGUAGCAUAGUGGCUAAAGGAUAUCUUGCUAAAUUUCUGUGAUGGAAUAUAUGCGGGCUAUCAGGAGCUCAAAACGUCGUGUUAUUAAAAGGACUCUUAUUUUGAAUGCAUAUAGUUGCAUUUGUCUUAAAGAAACCAAACUUCAAUAUGUUUCUACAAAAAAGCUGGAGAGCAUUUGUGGGUGAAAGCUAGACGGUUGUAUAUAAAUAAUAUCGUGGAUGUUCAAGCCGCCUGUUAAUUGCAUGGGACUCAAACAAAUAGUCCUAGGACUCCACAAUUACUAGUGAUCCUAGAAGUCUAGUAUUAAACAUCACAGGUAUCAGAGUCGGUAAAAUAAUCUAUACAAAUAUAACUACACUAUACAUAUAUAUCAUCCAUCAAACAUACACUUUUACAACCCAAAGUAAUAUAAUGUACAAAACUCUACUGAUAUGGCCAGUCCCAGAUGUAUAAUGUGUUGUAUACAACUCUAGCUUGGGUCCUCCACUAGCUCAGGUACACUGGAAGGAGACGCUAUCUAACUCGCUAUCCCUUUAUCUUGACAGAAGCAGGCGGUGAGAACUCAAAAACAAAAAAUCAACAAAGAAGAGUAUGAGAACUACGGAACAAUAGUUUCCAGUGAGUAAUAGCCACCAACCAUGACGAUCUACACUACUAGGCCUAAAAGAGACAAAAAUAGUAAAUAAUUGAGCAGUUAAAGAAACGUAAGUUGAACUGAAAAGAAAACUAACUAUCAUACCUCUAAAGUAAUACUAUCAACUACAAACUUAAACAAGUAAAUGGAGAACAGUAAAACUUUAAUAUGCAUCAAUUACUACAACCAAAUAACCAAUGUCAUAUCACCUAAUCUCAUCGACUAACUCAAUAGUCUGCUUAAGGUUGCGCCGCCUCGUGUGCCCCAACCUAUAGUGGUCCACUCUACGCAGGUUACUGUCUAUCUGACCCAUGCCAAUCGCUCAGCGCAACCUUUGGGGUGGCACUCGUGGUGCGCGACCCCAUCAAGUAUAGCGUAUAUCAUUAUCAAGCUCAAUGUGGCUUUGUAGUCUAUAGUUAUAUGCAAUAAUGAAAAAGACCACAAUAUAUAGUAUUGUCCAGGUGCCCUCUAGCAUAUUCUCGAUAUAUCACAUAGUGUAAAACUUUCCACUGAAUGGAAAUAUAGAAUAAUUUGUGAUAGCUCUAUAACACAUAUACAUCUAUCAAUCUCAAUAGAAAUAUAGAAUCAUUAUGGGUAGUAUAAUCAUCUCAGUUCAAUAGAAAAUAUACACAUAUAGAGCUAAAAUUUCUACUAUAUCAACAAGAUACUACAUAUCUCACAUGCUAAAUAAUACAAAAUAGAUAUAGGAGUCCACUAUUUUUGGCAACUAGAAACCCACCAGGAUGUGCUAUCGUAAAUUAGGAAAAGAAAGGAAAAGGGAUCACAGCACCAACUUUGGAUAAACUCUCGUGUACGUUUGUCACGCCCCGCGACCAACCGCCUAUUUGGACCGGGUCGCGGCGCCGACGACAGACCACCGAACGGACCGGGAAUUCCCCUGUACGCGGACAGAGUCUUCCCAGUACGUCCAAGGCGUCGCAAUCCAAACAAUCAACGAAUGUUCCAACAAGGAAUGGAUAUCAAUCCAGAUUGCAUAAGGAAGUAUCAAAUAUAUAAUCUACUUGCUAUUACAAGCAUUCAUUUCACAACCACGUUUACAUUACAGUUUCAGUUUACCUUUUUACUUCCCAAGUACAAUCUCACUAUUACAUCAGAGUUUACAAGUUUGAUACAUUUUCUUUUCGUCUUCUAGACCCUUAAGCUAGACUGUCUCAGGGUACUGCUACCUCGGUCUCUGUGGUGGGGCGCUAUCUACUGAGCUACGCCCUCGCCUCGCGCCGCCGCGCCGCACACGAACGACCUGAAAACCCCAAAACAACGUGGGGUGAGAACCAACUCCAUGGUUCCCAGUGGGUACGGCGACCCAAGGGAAAAGCUCGACCGAUAGGUCCGAGGAGGCACUGCAACAUGUUAGUUCAACAAUAUACAACAGAUAUAUAUAUUCAAUUGAAAUACAUGCCAUGCCUCACGAUAUGCGAUAUGAAAAUCAUGCAACAACUAGUAGAUCAUUUGAAUUCUACUUUUACUUGGCUACUUUAGCUCAUAACUUUACUCUAAGGUUUCUAUUACCUUAGGAUCACAACACCAACCACUAGCUUCUAAGGUUUCUAUUACCUUAGCUCAAGCCUCUAUCUCUGGCUCAUAAGGGUUCCUCUACCCUAUCAUAGCUAACCACCCGACUCGGCUUCGAGUCAAUCAUCUGCGGAUAGUCCGCGCACUGGCUGCUCAACAGCCUACCGCACUCUCUCUGACUCAGCCUCCUAGCGGCGAAAUCGUCGCACACGCUGAACACGGCUCGAGUCACAAGACUUGACCAUCGGUGGCGAUCGCGUUGCACUUACCCAGCGUGAGCUCGAGACAUGACAUACCGUCUGGCGGCGAACGGGUCGCACCACACCCAACAACGAUCAUGUCAGACUCAGUCACCUGGAGGCACCCGCAUCGUACUUACCCAGCAUGGAUUCAGUCUACUCUGGCGGUCUGAUCCUCAAAUGGCUUAACCACUCUGGCGGCGAAAUCGUCGCACAAACGCCAGCACAAUGGUUCAAGCCCCGGGCGGUGAUCUCCAUGUGAUCGCCCCCAAUCUACCCACGGUACCAAGCUCGGCGGCGAAAUCGUCGCACGAACGCCCUAGCCUGUACCAGGGACAUCAUAAGUCCUGGGAUUCCGGAAUCCACUUACCACAGGUCGAGGGUUCAUAGCCAACCCUAUACUGUCGACCUAGCUCAAUCUAGUGGCUAUACCACUAUACUCAUCAACCUAGGUUCCAACACUCUAGGUUCUAUGUCCACAUCACUUAACCUAGAUACACUUGCUAGGUUCUUAUCAUCUUUGCCUAGAUGUCCACUUCUAGGUUUACUAGUUCAACCUAGGUUUACUAACACUAGGUUAGAUGCCACACACCUAGAUUGUUCAACUCUAGGUUUACUAACCAACCUAUGUUCUUUAACACUAGGUUAGAUGCCACUCGAUCUACCUGACAACCUAGUUGUCCAAUCAUCUCUACUCAUCCUAGAGUUAUCAUCUGGUUUAUAUACAUAUACCAUGCAUCAUGCUUUCUACUUAGCAAUUACUCUUUGCAUCACUACUAACAUGCAUCCUUUACUUAGCAUCCUCAUCCAUGCAUUAUUAUUAAUAUGCAUUUACUUCAUAGCAUGCAUUACUUAGCAUUACAUUAUUAUCAUGCAUCACUAGCAUUAUGUAACUUGCUCACUAUGCAUUUCUACUAAGCAUUUUCAUCUAUGCAUUACCAUUAUCAUGCAUUACUCUACAUUAACUAGCAUUAUCUAAUGCCAUAGUCAUUAUGCUCCACUAUGCAUUGUUAUUAAUAUGCAUUUGCUCUAAGCAUUACCAUUUAUCAUGCUUUCUACUUAGCAUCUACUUUAUGCAUCUUUAUUAACAUGCAUCCUUGCUCUUGUCUACAUGCACAUGCAUCAACAUGAGAUUACAUUGCUAAGACAUAAAGGGCGACCUAGUCGCUUCGGUAAGCACAACCCACCUUAACGCGUUCCGAUUGCUCGUCGACACUUGCAAUCGGCCUCCCGCGGCACUCGGCACCCUUUGGGCCCGGCAAGCUCUUGCGCCUCAACCGUGUUCCGCUUUACAAAUCCAGAAAUUAUAGGUCUCCGGUUAUGCGCCACGAUGCCACACGUCCGUUCCCACGACCAUACGACGCCGUCUCGGACCUACAGGCAAGAAUGAAGCCUCAAGGCUUAUUCUUUUAAUAACUUUAAAACGGUUCGACGAAUGCUCAAUCCGUCUUCGCCCACGCGUUUCUUGACCUAACAAUUAGGUUUCCAAGCACUCAAAAUAGAUCAGAACCCCACAUUAGCAAAAUCCCCAUUUGGGAUGCCCUAAUGCAACAUAGGCUUAAUACCUCGGAUUUGAUCUAUAAAACAAGCAAAAGAAAGCUUGUUUAUCAUCUAGAAGCUCAUCUAGGAGCAUUCGAACUCAUUCUAGGGUGUUUAAAACAAACCCUAGAAAUUCACCAUUAGAGCUUCAUGAGAUAACCAUGGAUUUCAUAGUGUUCUAGCUCUCCACAAGGUUCUAAUUAAGUUAAAAGCUCCAAAUCUCUAAGUUUUAGGGUUUAUAAACCCAUCUAUCAAGACCCACCAUGAGAGGGAGCAAGGAGCUUACCUCUCAAAAGCUCCAAAAUGAGGAAGAAGAUGAAGAUGAGGAUGAAGAUGAAGAUCUUCUUCUUCUCCUCCUUGCUUUUCUCUUUUUCUUCUUCUCCUUCUUUCUCUCUUUUCCUUUCUUUCUCUCCUUUCUUCUUUUCUUCUCCCUUCGGUUGGGCACGAGCAGAGAGAGAGAGAGAGCUGUGGGAGUGAGAGAGAGUGAGAUAAAACACUCUCUAAUAGUGUAUUGUAACAAUAUCCACCUAGCCCCUCAAUAUUUCCAUUUUUCCAACUUAACCCACCGUUCUGGGUCCCUUGUACCGGUACACGGGCUCUUGUACCGGUACAAGGCCCGACAGACAUCUAAAACCGAGAGCUGGCUCGCUCAGUUUCGCGGGUUUUGUACCGGUACAAGGCCCCCUUGUACCGGUACAGCGCCGUAGCACUGUUCCGUGAUGGUUGUACCGGUACAGCCAUCAUGCUUGUACCGGUACAGCACCUGCAGCAUGCUGUUUUCACUUCUUUUCGGCUCUAUAUCGCGUCGUACAAUGUCAAGACCCUUCCAACUCCUUUGGAACUCACUUUUACUCUUCCAAUCAUGUUGGAACACCAACGGAAACUUGUCCAUCCAUCCUCUUCGCAUACUUUAGUCGUUUUAGCUAAAGUUCGAUAAUUCUUCCGAAACCUCGGGGGUUACAAGGUUCCAACUCUGUAUGGUCCGAAGAAACAGUCACGCAUGGACGUCCUUGAUCUCCUCUCAAGAUCAAUAUUUCUCAGAUUGUGAGAUGUGGAGAAAAUUGAGUAAAAGAGAGAAACAGCUUAGCAACCUAAUAAAUGGUCCUGAGCCAAAAUGCUAUGUUUCGGACACCCCAAAUCCAUUUUGGGUGUUUGAAAUUCUGGUUAGUCAGCUGCUGACUGACCUACUUCACAACGCUUGUCACAUCACACCGACCAACUUAUUUUCGAAAACCUAUAGUAGAUUUGGGCGCAGAACAUAGGCUCGAAUCAUUUGUAUGCAUCCUCAACACACAGGGCAUCCGAAACCAGCGUCUGAAAUAACAUCAUCCCAAAUCGCCACAUCCGAGCAUCCGAAUCCUCUUUCAGGUGUCUGAAACUGCACCAAGUGCAUAGUGAGUUGAUUUCACUUUAUUGAUUGUGCUUUCAUGUCAAUUUUGCACCAAAAUGACUCCUACCCAGUCAAACACUUCUCAAAGAUUAUGACUAACAUCUCAUAAUGCAAACUUACCUAUUGCACCCUCCCGUUCCACAAAGAGUUUCACCCUCAAAACUUGAAACUGAACAUAUCUCAACUAAGUCUCAAAUGAGUAGGGGUAGGUCUGUCUCAUCUCCUCCUUAAGCUCCCAGGUCGCCUCUCACUUCUCAUGGUUGUUCCACAAGAUCUCCACAUAGGGAAUGACCCGAUUUCUCAAUUCCUUCUGCUUUGAUGCCAGAAUUUGAAUCUAUUGCUCCUUAUAGUUCAAUCCUUGCUCUACUUUAAUGGAGCAAAAUCAAUCACAUGCGAGGGAUCAAAGACAACCCCUCCUCAAGGUUGAGACAUAGAACAUGUCAUGAACUCCUGCCAAUCAUGGUGGUAAGGCAAUCCUGUAGACAACUAGUCCAACUUGCUCCACUACCUCAAACGGCACAAUGAAACGUGGGCCGAGCUUUCCAUAUAUUUCAAACCUCUUUAUUCCUUUAGAUGGUGAGACUGUUGAGAAUACGUGAUCUCCAAUCUGGAACUCUAGAUCUCGUCGUCGCCGUGUAUCAGCAUAACUCUUUUGUCGACUUUGGGUAGUCACCAAAUAUCGUCGUACAAUUCUAACUUUUUCCUUAGUUUCCAAUAAAAUAUUAGGAUUCAAAGUUUUCGUUUCACAUACUUCAUCCUAAUAUAAAGGUGAUCGAUACUUUCUUCCAUAUAAUGCUUCAAACAAAGCUAUUCUGAUACUUGCGUGAUAACUAUUAUUAUAUGCAAACUUCGCCAUUGGCAAGUAUCGAUGCCAUCCACCACCAAACUCAAGGAUGCAACCUCGCAACGUAUCCUCUAAAAUCUAAUCGUCCUCUAUGUUUGUCCAUUGGUUUGUGGAUGGAAGGUCAUGCUGAACUAUAGGUGAGUCCCCAAGGCUGUUUAUAAACUUUUCUAAAAAUGAAAAACAAACCUCGGGUCUCUAUCUGAUAUUAUAGAGGUAGGAACUCCAUGCAAUCUCAUAAUCUAAUCCAAAUAUCUCUGAGCGAGUCUCUCUGAACCAUGUAAUUUGUUCUAGUAUAAAGUGAGUAGACUUCGUCAAUUUGUCCACAAUCAUUCAUACUGCAUCAUGCCCACUUUGCGAUCGCAGUAAGCCAAUCACAAAAUCCAUAAUAAGUAUGUCCCAUUUCCACAUUGGAAUAGAAAGUUUUUGAAGUUUGCCAGCUAGUACCAGAUGUUUAGCUUUAACUUGUUGACAGGUCAAGUAUUGUGCUAUAAAUCUCCCAAUAUGUCAUUUCAUUCCAAUCAACAGUAAUGUACCUUUAAAUCCUUUUACAUUUUAGUCCAUCCAGGAUGAAUAGUGUAAGUUGAGAUAUAAGCCUCUUUCAAGAUCUUCUUACCAAGCUUUAAUCCAUAGGUACACAUAACUGGUCCCGAAAUCUCAAUACGUCUGAGGCAUCAAUAUUGAACUUCCCUGCCUGUCCACUCUCUACCUCUACUCAUACUCUCAUCAAUUGUGGAACUAUACUCUAUUUCUCUUUGAUCUUUUCUAAUAGAGUAGGUUGCAAGACCAUAGAUAUAAGUCUUGCAGUAGUCCCAAGGGAUACCACCUCAAGUCCAAACCGCCUUAUCUCCUUUAGUAAUGGUGUCUAUCUCACAAUCAUCAUACUCAGGCUCUCCACCGAUUUGAGACUUAAUGCAUUUACUACCACAUUAGUCUUGUCAGGAUGAUACAAUAUAGUUACAUCAUAAUCCUUUAUGAUAUUGGAUAGUGACAAUUAUAAUAUUUGGCACCAUAAAAUUCAAUAUAUUCUCGCUGUGUAAGAGGUUCUAAAAAACUUGAGUAAUAAAAUGGAUCAACCCGCAGAGAGCAACAACGCUUAGGCUCGUCGAGAUAUGGAAGCCUAUAAUAAUUGGUUUAAAAAGGAUCGCAUUGCUUGUAUCACGUUGCUGAGUGGGAUGCAGAAUGAUCUCUUGUGCGAAUAUGAGCAGUACACAACUGCGCAUGACAUGUGGGAGGCUCUCAAAACUAAAUUUGAUGCGACUUUGGCCACAAUGUUGCACUGCCUAACCAUGCAAUUUGACAUUUUGUAAUAUAUGAGAUUUUGAAUAAAAGAAAUUCAAAUUUGAAUCUUGAUAUUUGAUAUAUAAUUUGAUAUAUAUAUAUAUAUAUAUAUAUAUAUAUAUAUAUGUGUGUGUGUGUGUGUGUGUGUGUGUGUGUGUGUGUGGAUAUAUAUAUAUAUGGAUUAUAUUUGGAUACGGAGAGGGUGGGCUUUGUCGCAAAUCGGCAGCCAAAUCAGGCGAAACAAAAUAGUAAUGUAGAUGUCUUGGUUGUGCUGAACGUGCUGGUGCAGUCCGUUCACAAAUCUAAUGGACGGAUCUCCUAAUAUCGCGCGAGGAUCGACGAGGAGACAUAACUAGCAAAGUAUAAAUUUGCAAAAAUUCCUAUAUUUUAUGUACCGUUUUGCGUAAAAUCGAACGUGGUGGUUUGUACACACGUUUUACUCGCACCGUGAGGUACUCAGCCGAAAAUACUAAUCAUUGGUAGGCUUAUUUGCAAGUUUACCACCUUGUAUAUAAUAGCUAACUAGGGUUUUAUUAUGGUGUUUUGUGGCAGCGGGUGACUCAUGGCAUGAGUCGGUGAGCCCUGGGACACUUCGUGGGUCCUAGCGGAGUUCCGGUGCGAUUUUCGGAACUUCCGGCGAGUUACGAGUGUGUAGGGUUGUGAGUUUAGUGUUUCUUAUUUGUGGGUUAAAGUGGUAUCAGAGCCAAGUUACAACCAUGGCUCCACUCACGCAUUGUUUUGAAAAAAUAAUAAACUGAAACAUUGAUUAGGUUGACCUAUAGGAAGACCAGCGGUAUAUAGGCAUGCGAGUGCGGGGUUUUGGCUUGAGUCCCAAUGUGCGUUGUCGAGUCGAAUUAUUCACUUGACGGUGUUUUCUAUUGCAGAUGGUUCGUGGUAGACCCCGUCGUUUGGGUCUUGGAAGUGGACGCGCUGUUGCGAAGGCAUCGGGCGGCCGGAGUGAGCGUACCCCUACGGGUGGAGGUGGUGGGGGACAGAUGGGCCCUGAGCCGUUGGGUGACACUCGUAUCCAUUAGCUCGAGGCCCAGGUAGCCGAGAUGAAGGGUCAGCUGACGACCCUCUCCGGGAUGUUCUAGCUGUUCUUAUAGCAGCAGACUGCAGCUGCUUUUCCCUCGGCCCCACCUCUAGCGCAAAGCACUCCGGUGACUGCGAACCCUCCGGUGAUGUCUGCAUCGGUUGCGGCUCCGACCGACACGACAACGACGACGGCCACCACGACGGUUUCUGCUGGGGGUGCUCGUACCCCUGAAGUAGAGGGCGCUCGUAUUAGGGCGAAGUUGGAGGAGUUCCGGAAGUUUGACCCCCCGAAAUUCGUAGGAAAGAACGAUGAGAGUUGGGCGGUCGAGCACUGGGUCGCCCACAUGGAGAAGCUGUUUCAUGACCUGCAUAUCGAGGAACAGGAUAAGGUCCCUCUGGCUACCCACUGCUUAGAGGGAGAGGCAUACUAGUGGUAGUUCCGCCACUUCUAGAAGAAGCUCGCGGAGACCUAUCUACCCUGGAAGGAGUUUCGAGGACUCCUCUACGACCAGUACUUCAAGAACAGCACCAAACAGAGUCUGGAACGAGAACUGGAGCACCUCAAACAGGGCAACCGCACUGUUGCGGAGUAUGACCAAGACUUCACUUGCAUCGUCGAGCGGAUUCGAUUCGCGGUCCGUGAUGAGUAUCACAAGGUCCGGCUGUUUGCGAGGGGGCUAAGGCCUAACAUUCGACUCCUGAUUGCGUCCCACGGUGUGAUAUCUUUUGUUGAGUGUCUGGAUCGGGCUCUGAUGGUGCAGAGCGAUAUGGAGGAGGUUCAAUUUGACCAGGACACAUCGGAGAGGAUUGGGGACAAGAAGCAUUCCCACGCUAAAUCGAGCGGUGUGUCAGGAACUUAGAAAAAUUUCUAUGCAGCCCGGUCCCUGGCCUAAAUCUGUUUAGCGAGUUUGGGUUGAAAACGGGUUGAAUCGGGUUGUCAAGGAGACUCAAACCCAACCCGCUGUGGGAAACUCAAGGGUUGUGAAACUUAUGGGAGUUAUGGGUGACUCUUGAGCUUUUGGCUAUUAUGAGGGCUCAUCAUGUAUCAAUAAUGGAUGAGUUAUGUGGCUAGUGGGUGAGUUGAAAAGGCUCAUUAGGCCUAUAAAUAGUGGGGUUGGCUAAGGCCAAGACACACAAGAGAGAGUGUGUUUGUAUGCUGUUUGUAGGUUGUAAUUCUCUUUUUCUAAGUAGUGUAGUAUUUAGUUUUUUUUUUAGAGAACCUCUGCCUCUUUCUCUUGUUUCUUUCCCUCUGCAUACUUAGUCGUAGGACGCGAAGGUCCGAGCUUGCAACAGGGAAGUAGGCUUGUCCAUCGUCGAGCAGGAAAGGUGGGCGUCGCACGGGCUUUGCAAAAAAAAAUGCUAAGGUCGUGAUAGGUGGCUCUUUUUCCAGUAAGAGGCCACCCAAUCAUCCACGUACUCAGUAGUCGGCGAGGAGUGCACCCUCUAGCAGCUAGCGACAGGGUGAUUGAUCCUGUGUGAUCUGUGGGUAGGCACAUCAGGUGACUGCUUGCUCGCAGCGGAGGGACCACUACUUCUGUUAUGGCUAGCCGGGCCACCUUUGAGUCAAAUGCCCCAAAGGUGGUUGGGCUACUCAGAGUGCUGCUUCCUCUCCAGCCGCACCGCAACAGUACCGUGGAGUCUCGAGUGCUAGUGCUUCAUCUGGGCGUCCCUCUACCUUACGCCAGAAUGAGGGGGCACGCUAGUCAUCUGGUGGGCUUGUCUACAACAUGUCCCGGCCCGAGGGUGACGCAGGUGGCGACGUUGUUACAGAUAUUGUCACCCUCUACACCACUCAUGCUAGGGCUCUCUUCGAUAAUGGAGCAUCUCAUUCAUUCAUUUCGCAUUCAUUUGCAUGUGAUCAUGGCUUUUCCUCGAGUCCACUUGCUACGACGAUCCGGAUUGAGAUGCCCGGGACCGAGCUGGAAGCGAAAUGGUGCAUUAUGUCGUGCCCCGUUGUUUUGGGCGAUCGGGCGUUUCUGGCAAAUAUGGUGCUACUCCAAAUAAAGGGUUUCGAUGUGGUGCUUGGGAGGAUUGGCUCACCAGGCACCACGCUUCUAUCCAUUGCGAGUGGAGGACGGUGACAUUUGCUGUACCCGAUGAAGAGGAGUUUGUCUAUCGAGCGUGUAAGAGCUCCUAUUUUGCCAUGACUAUCUCUUCAGGUAGUGCAAAAAGGCUUAUGAAUGGCGGAUGCGUGGCUUACCUAGCUUCGGUGGAUGUCAUCCGCUGCGCGGCACCAGCAUUGGAGGAGAUUCCAGUAGCCCGGGAGUUUCUGGAUGUUUUUCCAGCGAAGCUACCGGGGAUGCCUCCGGACCAGAAGAUCGAGUUCUUCAUCGAGUUUGUCCCCGGCAUGACACCGAUCUCGAAGGCCCCCUACCGAAUGGCCUUCGCUGAGCUGAAGGAGCUAAAAGCUCAGCUUGAGGAUCUUUUGGAUAAGGGAUUCAUCAGACCUAGCGUAUCUCCCUGGGUGCACCAGUCCUUUUGGUCAAAAAGAAGGACAGUAGUCUGCAACUAUGCAUUGACUACCGAGAGCUCAAUAAGGUCAAGGUGAAGAACAAGUAUCCUCUGUCCCGGAUUGAUGAUCUUUUUGAUCAGCUUCAAGGAUUGUCGGUGCCUUCUAAGAUUGAUUUGCAGUCCGGGUGUCAUCAGCUUAAGAUCCGGGUUGAGGAUGUGCCGAAGACAGCCUUCCGAACUCAUUACGGCCAUUACGAGUUCACGGUAAUGCCGUUCGGGCUUACUAAUGCCUUGGUAGCCUUCAUGGACAUGAUGAACAGAGUCUUUUGGUCAUACUUGGAUCAAUUUGUCGUGACCUUCAUUGAUGACAUAUUGAUAUACUCGCGGAGUGAUGACGAGCACGAAGAUCAUCUCCGACUAGUACUCCAGAUACUUCGAGAGCACAAAUAAUAUGCUAAACUCAAGAAGUGCGAGUUUUGGCUUCGCGAGGUGUCCUUUCUGGGACACAUUGUGACUUCGUCGGGCGUUACUGUGGACCCAAAGAAGAUAGCCUCGGUGGUCGAGUGGCCUACACUAACCACUGUGACCGAGGUCAGGAGUUUCCUUGGGUUGACAGGUUAUUACCGGCGAUCUGUCGAAGGCUUUGCCAAAAUCAUCGCGCCGCUGAAUAGCCUGACCAGGAAAGGAGAAAGAUUUUGGUGGACUACUCAGUGUCAGCAGAGCUUUGAUGAGCUGAAGGAUAGAUUGAUCCGCGCACCCAUUUUGACUAUGCCACGGCUUGGUGAGGACUUUGUGGUCUAUUGCGAUGCCUCACGAGUUGGUUUGGGGUGUGUGCUUAUGCAGCAGGAUCGGGUCAUUGCCUACGCUUCCCGCCAGCUGAAGUAUUACGAGAGGAAUUACCCGACUCACGAUCUUGAGCUCGCGGCAAUAGUGUUUGCCCUUAAGCUAUGGAGGCAUUAUGUCUAUGGGGCACACUGCGAGGUAUUCAUUAAUCACCUGAAACUGAAGUAUCUUUUCACCCAUAAGGAGUUGAACCUCAGGCAACGGCGUUUGCUCGAAUUCUUGAAGGACUAUGACCUCUCUAUCCAGUAUCAUCCGGAGAAGGCAAAUGUUGUAGCUGAUGCCUUGAGCCGGAAGCAGUCAUCAGCUGAGUUAUCUCUCAUGAUUACGACGAGGUAAGAUCGUUUUGUGGAGGAGUUCCACCAUCUCGAGAUAGAGGUUGUUCCCACUAGGGCCACGACCCAAUUAAUAACCCUAGUGGUGCAGCCUAUAUUGACUGAGCGGAUCAUGCUCGGACAGCAGAAUGACCCGCACUUGCAGAAGGUACGGGCGGAUAUCGAGCAGGGCAAGGACGGGGACUUCUCUAUUCACACUAACGGAUCUCUUCGUUUUAGAGGCAAGUGGUGCGUGCCUAGUAACUCGGAGCCGAGGAAAGAUAUCCUAUCCGAGACGCAUCGAUCCCCUUACACGGUUCAUCCCGGUAGAACCAAGAUGUAUCGUGACUUGACGCAGAAUUUUUGGUGGCCUGGGAUGAAGUUAGACAUGGCACAACACGUGGCCUAGUGCUUGGUUUGUCAACAGGUGAAGGCCGAGCACCAGCGACCAGUAGGAAAGCUGCAACCACUUUCGAUACCAGUGUAGAAGUGGGACCAGAUUACUAUAGAUUUCGUCAGCGGGUUGCCUCGAUCGCAGCGGGGCCACGAUACUAUCUAGGUAAUAGUGGAUCGGCUGACGAAAUCGGCUCACUUCCUACCGAUGCACACUACUUGGUCCUGUGAUCGACUGGCACAAUUGUAUAUCGAAGAGAUCGUUCGACUUCAUAGAGUGCCAGGGUCGAUUAUUUCGGAUCAGGACAUUCCCUGGGGUCUGGCAUCCCCUGGGGUCAAGGAUUUCAAAAAAAAAGUAAAUAAAUAAAAUUGGGCACUUUCGCGUUGAUUCUUAAACUUCAAAGGGACCUCGGGACAUGACACAGUCAUAAGAAGUGUGUCGAUCAGACUACGAAACAGCGUGUGAGAAUAAUAUCAAAUAUAAUUCGUGAGUUAAAGUCGGCUAGCGGCACCUUGACUGAUGAGCAGUAAAUCCAAACUAUGGUUCACUUACUUCCUAAUUCGUGGGAACAUAUGUAAGUAAAUUUGGCACAUAAUGAGAGUGUUAAAACUUUUUUGAAUGUAGCAUGACAUCUGAAGUUGGAGGAGAAGCGCCUUGAGGCUAUUAAAACUCCAACUAUCAAUGUUGCUGAGUCAAACUUUCACAGAAUAUAUGGGUUCAAGUGAAAAAGGACUAGUAGGCCUCAAAAUCAUAGCGGAUCAGUGCCUAAGAAUGCGAAGAAUAGCAAAAGAAAGAGAAGCAAACGAGGUGGCAAAAAAGACAAGUCGAAGAUGACCCGUUUCAAUUGUAACUAGCUGGAACACUUCGCUCGCGAUUGCACUGAACCGAAGAAGGUACCCUUUUAUUCUGAUUCUUGCUCUUUUGUUUCCUCUAGUAUGUUUGUUGCUGAAUCUUUUCUUGUGUGGAUUGUAGACUUGGAGCAACAGACGACGUUGCGAGGGAUCGGAUGGGAUUCGUCGAGUAUCAUCAUGUACCUGUUGGGAGCAAGAGAGUAUGCAUGGGGAAUGAUUCGAGUGUCGAUGUAUUAAGCGUUGGCACGUACAAGUUGAUCAUGCGAUGUGGUUGCACUUUGUACCUUCAUUAUGUACUUUAAGGAAUCCGGCGGAACUUAUUCUUGCUAAGUUUCAGUUAGGCUUUUCUUUUAGUUUUAAGAAUGACAAUAUUGAGAUUCAUCUUGAAACUAUUUAUUAUGGAAAAGAUUUUAUUUCAUAUGGUUUUCUGAUUUUGGACAUUAAUUAUAAUAAUAAUGAUAGUAGUUUCUUUUUCUUGCUAUCUUCUGUUGAGAAUGAUCAUAAUGUUUCUAUUAAAUGGCAUACUCGUCUUGGUCAUAUUUGACAGGAUAGAAUGACUAGAUUAGUUAGAGACGGGUCAUUGAGUUCGCUCAUUAAAGUCGACUUGCCCACUUGUGAACAUUGUUUAGCAGUAAAAGCAAUUCGAAAACCAUUUAAUAAAACUUUUAGGGCAGAAUUUUCUUUACAGUUGAUCCAUUCCUAUAUAUGUAGCCCAAUGAGUGUGAUGGCAAGACAUUGUGCUUUUUAUUUCGUCACAUUUAUAGAUAACCAUACGCGUUUCAGUCAUGUCUAUCUAAUCUCCCAUAGGUUUGAAGUAUUGGAUUGUUUUAGAUGUUACAUUAAUUAGGUUGAGGAUCAGUUAGAUAUGAAAAUUAAAUGCUUAAGAACUGAUCGAGGCCGCGAGUAUCUAUCUGAACAAUUUAAGAAAUUGUGUGAUGAAAAGGGAAUAAUCAGACAGUUGACAAUUCCUGGCACUCCGCAGCAAAAUGGCGUAGCGGAGAGAAGAAUCGCACUUUACUUGCCAUGGUUAGAUCAAUGAUGAUGCAAGCAAAUUUGCCUGUCUUUUUUUGGGGAGACGCAUUGUUAACUACUGCCUACAUUCUUAAUCGUGUAUCCUUUAAUAUAGUACUUUUUGUUCCUUAUAAAUUGUGGACAAGCAGAAAACCAAAUUUGGAGCACUUGCAUCCUUGGUGUUCCGUAGCUUAUGUACAUGAUACUUCUCAUAAGUAUAGAAAGUUGGGUCCUAGAGGAAAGAAAUGCAUCUUUAUAAGAUACCCCGAACACUUUAAGGGAUAUGUGUUCAUCGGAAAGCAGCCAGAUGAAAGUUUCAGUAAAAUUAAGUCACGAGAUAUUGAAUUUCUCGAGGAGGAUUUUUCUUAUAAAAGUGAAGUUCGAAAUAAAAUAGAGUUCCAUGAGAUGGAUGACUCUAGUAUUGGCACUUCUAUUCAUUCAGUUAAAGUAGAGGAGGCAACUCCAAUACCUCAUGGGAAUAGUGGGAGUGAGUACCUUUAGAACGGGGGCCUCAACUUUGUAGGAGCACACGUGUGGGUGUUUUCUGUCGUCGUUUUGAGAUUAAAGGGAAAGCUUUCAUGGUUGCUACAUAUGAUGAUGAUGAGCCUAGGUCUUUCCAUGAGGCUCACUCAUCACCUACUCGUAAGAAAUUGUUGGAUGCAAUGGUGGAGGAAAUAGAAUCGAUGCAAUCAAAUCAUGUCUGGGACUUGGUUGAUUUACCGCUAGGGUACAAAACUAUUGAGAUAAAUGGGUUCUCAAGGUUAAGCGCAAUGUAGACGAUUCAACUGAUAAGUAUAAGGCUCGCCUGAUAGAAAAGGGUUUUACCCAAUGAGAAGGCAUUGAUUACGAGGAAACCUUCUCUUCUGUUGUAAGGUUUACUUCGAUCUGCCUAAUUUUGGCCGUUGUCACGUAUUUGAAUUUGAAAUUUCAUCAAAUAGACGUUAAAACUGCAUUUCUCAAUGAAGAGCUAGAUGAGGAGAUCUAUAUAAAUCAGCCUGCUUGCUUUGCUGUAGAGGGUGAGAGGUAUAAAGUUUGCAAACUCCGACGGUCCAUCUAUGGAUUAAAGUAGUCAUCCAGACAAUGGUACAUUCAAUUUCAUUGAGCCAUCACUGAAGAUGGUUUACAAUGAUUGAAGAAGAUCAUUGUGUGUCUGUCAAACGACCCAAAAGAUAUUUUCUAAUCAUUUUCUUAUAUGUUGCGACAUUCUAGUGGCUAGGAAUGACAAGGAGAUAAUUGUCGCCACUCAAACGUGGUUGUCCUCCAAUCUUGAGAUGAAGGACAUGGAUGAAGCAAAUUAUGUGCUCGGAGUCAAGAUCUUACGAGAUCAUUCAAAGAAACUUUUAGGUUUGUCUCAAAAGACUCACUUAAGAAUAGUUUUAGAACGAUUUCAGAUGCACAAUUGCAAAUCCAUUGACACUUCUAUUGCUAAAGGUAAGAGUCUUAACCUUAAAUAGUGCCCUAAAUUUUCUGAUGAAAAAAAUAAGAUAAAUAGGAUUUCAUAUGCUAGUGCGGUCGAGAACUUGAUGUAUGCUAUGAUGUGUACUCGACUUGAUGUAUGCUAUGCUGUGGGCCUGGUUACCCGUUUUCAAUUCAAUCGGUGCUUGGACCACUGGAAGGUUGUUAAGAUUAGCACACAUACAUAUAUUUUUUAUAUUGUUAUAGAAUGAGUUGAUAGUAUGUUGUAGGCUGAUUGGCUAUCUCACACGGGUAAUCAUUCUUUUCGACGCUAUAGAGAGCAAGCGAAAAUUGAGUCAUUAAAGGAAGCGCGUUGGUUGGCACCAAGAUGAGGUCAUAAGCAUGACUGCAUACGAAUAGUCCCACGAUUCGUAUGGCUUGUACAUUAAGAGUCGGAUGUGAUCUCACCGUUUGGCGCUUGAGAUAGCGAGCAAAUGGAAGACUCAAGCUAGACACUCCGAGAGUAACCGAACUAAGAUUCGUAUGGCAUUGACAAAGGCAUACGCUUAUUGAGAUUCUCUAUUAUAGCAUGUAUUUCAUACUACAUGUGUUAAGUGACCAAAUGAAGAAGAUUAGUGAAUGGAUCCCUGCUUCCUCAUCAUGUGAGUUCCUAUGGACAUCAUUUUGAGGCGUUGUCUUAUAUAUGUUAGAUGCCCUUAGGGAAUUUUGACUAUGUCAUUAAGUGAAAGAACUGAUGUUGCUAUUUUGGCAUGUUCCCUACGGCUAUGAGUGACGCGGCUUUACGAAGCAUUGCUGGGAAAGCAAUAGUUCUCAACUUGGUGGCAUGAGGGCUUAAGAAAGACUAGUUGGAUUGCAUUGAGACACUUUGUCUUAUUGUCGACAGGUUGUGUUGCUUCAGCAUAGCGAGAUAAUUAUAAGUAUAGUGUCAUAAUGUGCACAAUAGAGGUUAGCAUGGCUCUUUGAGGGAUUAGAGAUGCUGAACCUAAUAUAAUCCAAUGCUAAGCCUAAUGUAAUCCAAUGGUCUAGGGCAUCAUAAGUCUAAUAUUCUCUUUUGAAGGUUGAUGUCUCUAUACUGGCCAUAUGCGGUUUCUAGUAUAGAGCUCCCAAAAUGCAAGUUGACUUGGCGGUCGCACUAUUCAUUUUCUUGUAUGAAUGAAAUUAAUAGUGGUGUAAUGUUGAGGAAAUGGUUACAAUGGCAUCAAUCCUGUUAUGUGCAAGUGGGAGAUGUUGGCAUUUGGUUAAACCAAAUUGAGUGCUCCCAUGAUCGGGCUCGAUCCGACGGUUAUUAUGUUGUCUAAUUGGAUUAGGAUUAAUCUCGCUUUUAAAUUAGAAGCUAAUUAAAGAUAUAUUCUAAUCAUAUUAGGAUAAUAAUUAUAAACGGAUUCGGCCUAAUCUCUCACUUAUAUAUCAGAAUUUUGGGAUCCCUUAUAUAUAUACGGGUUAUUCUUAUAAAAUACAAGAAAACUUAGAGAAUAAAAUACUCAUAAACUCGUGAGCAAUUUGUGAGCUAUCUUGUUAGAGAGAGAAAUCACAUCCUCCAUUAAACUAUUGCUCUAGAGGGUCUUGAACGGUGGAUUAGAGGUCCUGCUCAUUUGUAGUUCAAUCUACUGUGGGUUCAGAGCGUUAGAAGACUUUCAUAGAUGAUCCGAGAACACAUGAAUCAACCUCUACGAUCCGGGCUCAUCAUGUUCUAGUGUGAGUCACUUCCGCAAAAAAGUAUGAACGAAUACUUUUGCUGCGUUUUACUUAAAAAUUUGUACAGUUCAUUGAGACAUGUUUAGAAUAGAAUAUUAUAUUUGGUAUUCAAAUCUUUUUUCGCAAUAAGAUAAAUCAUCUUAUAAGUAAAAUACUAUUUUACUAAAUUAUGAAUAGCAAGAUUUUUGAAAAAGUAAAAAAAUAAAACUCCUCACUUAUAAUCAUACUAGAAAAUUUUCAUGUGUCUUUUGACAUCCAAUCAGUGUCCUACACUUAUUUGGAUGUCGAAAUAUGAUAGACAAUAAUAACUUAUUUGGUUUGAAAAUUUUUUCUACAUGAUUGGGCAUUAAGAAUUUGAUUUUUGGUCAUUGAAAGAUCUUGAUAUUUAUAAUUUGGCUAAAUUACAUAAAACACUCCUGUCAAAAUAUGAUUUUUCACUUCCCCCCAUCAUUUAUAAACCUACACUUUGCCCCCUUAUAAAAUAAAAAAUAUUCAUAGGGGAUACAGUGUGAAAUAUGAUGACAAAAUGACCAUUUUGCUCUUUACCCAUUUCGUCUUCUCCCUUAUCUUGCUUAUCCGCGGCCUCGAUCGGCCACAGUUCGCGCCUCGAUCAGCUGCGGUUCUUCUCCAUUUUCUUCUCUACCUGCUCCCCUUCUCCUUCUACACCCUCGUCGCCCCUCCAUUUUGGUGACAGUAGAGGGGAAAUCAAGGUGGGCAUAGAUGGAGAGGUGGAAAAGGGCAACGAGGGCGAAAGCGAGGCGGCGGAGGAGGGUGAGAGGGUGUUUGUGGGCGCAGACGGAGAUGUGGGCGAGGGCGAAGUAGUGAAGGAGGGCGAGGCGGCUAGUCGGCGAGGCGGAGGAGGGCGAAGCACAGUAGAGAGGGUGGAGGGUAUUUUUGGCAUAAAAUAAUAUUUUAUAAUGGAACCAUAACGGAUCACUAAUGGUAGGGGGUGAAGUGAACAUUUUUCAUUUUACAAUGGGGCAAAGUGUAGGUUUUAAAUGACAUGGGGGAAAAGUGAAAAAUUGGGUUUUGACUGGGAGGUUUUCUGUAAUUUAGCCUUAUAAUUUUACCAUAGCAUAUUUCGCUUAUAAAAUAAUUUAUUUUAUUAUGAAAAAAAUAAUAUGAAGGCUGAAUAUGAUAUUACGCUCUUCAUCUACCAAAUAUUACAUAUUUUUGAGUAAAUUAAAGGAAUAAAUUAACUAUCCUCCAAUUCAAAUCACGAGCCAACAGCUGAAGGAUAUUAUAAAAUCGCUUAAAUUUAUACAAAUUAUUGAAACUAUUUAAAAUUUAUUUUAUUUAGUGUGUUGCUACUAUAGAUGUUGGAUAUUGAAUGAAAUGAAAUAUUUUGACAUAUGUUAUGUUUUUUUUUUAUGAUAUCAAAAUAUUGUUAAGUUUUUUUUUUUUUUUUUUUCUUGUGAGAGAGAGAUGUAAGGAGAUGAGAGAGAUAUGCUGACUCUGGCUUCAUUUAUGUUCAUUUAUAAAUAAACUUUAUGUUGGAAACUGGAAUUCAACUAGGUAUUCGAACUUGACAUUCGGAUAUUCAACCUAAGCCUUUUCACCUAUGCACUAUUAAUGGUAUUGCCUUAUUAUAGAAAAAUUAUAUAUGAUAUUUAUUAUUAAAUCUAGUGUUGAUGGCAUAUGAUCUAAUAAUUUCUAAUUUUUAAACCGGCUAACAAUAAUUUAGUUUAAUAAAAUUUUUAAUUUAUAAUUUCACAUGAGAAACGGUUUAAACUCUCUAUAUUAAUAACAUUUUAUAAGACCGUUUUGAACAGCCUCUACAAAUAAGAAAAAUAAUUUUGUAGAGGCGGUUUGAACCGCUUCUAUAUUAUAAUAAGAUGAAUAAAAAAUUAUUAAAUAAAAUGAAAAAAAUUAGUUGAGCUGGUUUGAACCACAUUUAUAAGACCGCCUAUAGAGACAGCGCCUACGCCGGCGGUUUAGAGGUGGUUGUUAAAACUGCUUCUACGGUUUGCGAUUUAAAUUGCCCCUACGAUAAUUAAAAUCGUCUCUACGACCGUUUUGUUUUGUACUGAAUAUUCAUGCAUUCAAAUAGAUCAAUCUUAAUCAUGCAACUCUAUGUACAUGAAUGGCUUCACUAUAAGCCCAAAUCAUGUGGAAUGCAAACAAAAACUGACAACAAAGUUCGCUAAAAUCUAAUUGGAAGGUGUCUCGAUCGCUUCUUGUUGCUUAAUGUUCUUCUUGUGGCAGACAUCCCUCCAAAAACUCAUACAAUUGUACAUUAUCCAAAAAGUAGCGGCUCCAAAAUUCUUUUUUUUCGUUUUCAUUUUUGGAAACAUACACGUGGGAGUUAAAAAAAUCGACCUCGCGGAUGCUCUGGGUAACCUGAUGGUGGCUGGCAUAGAAAAUUGUAGAACCCCCGCGGUAGCUUUCGACAACUCAGCCUUACGAUUUGUGUGGUUCAACAUAAAAUCAUAAAGUAUAAUUUUUCGUAGAAAAAAGUUUUGGUGAAAUUUUUUUUUUUUUUUUAUAUUUUGUAGUAUUUGGUUUGAAGAAAAAAAAUAAUUUUCAAUCAACAUUUAUUUGGUUGAAAGAAAAAAUAAAAUUCACAUUUAUUUGGUUCAGUAGAAAAAAAAAAUGAAUGAAAAAAAUUUUACGCAGUUUGAGUUUUUAUUUUUCGUCGGAAAACUGCGACAAACUAAAACUUCAAUUUUUUUUUUUUUCCAAAUCCAUAAAACAUCGAGCCAAAUAAAAAAAAAAAAACAUUUUUCAUACUGAAAAUAAUUUGUCUAUUCGUUUUACGCCGAACCAAACACCCCUUAGCUCUUGAAACAAGCAAUUGAGCUAAAAUCAGUAUGGGCUCGACCAAUUUUAAUGUCCCUCAGUUGAUGGACUCACACAAACACACACUAAAUUUUAGACCUCAGCCCAAAUUGGACGUGAGCCUGGGCCAACCUGCAUUCUUACCUACCGAAAAUUUGAGAACAUUUGGCCUGCUUUUUUCUUCUGUUUUCAACUUUAGUUAUCUCUAAUGCAGUGUUUAGUGCACGAAAUUUCAGAGUUUUGUAUGUGGGGGAAAGUUAAAAUUAUAUUUUGAGACUGGCUUCUCCGGCAGAAAAGUUGUUAGGACGAUUUUGACAUGAUAAUUUUCUAAUAACGCAAGGCAAACAACAUUUCAUCCAACAGUAUUAUGCCUUAUCAUAUAUAUAUAUAUAUAUAUAUAUAUAUAUAGUAGCCUAGUUCUAUAUAUAUAUAUAUAUAUAUAUUUAGAGUUGAGCUAGAAUACUAUCGGUAGCAAAUGAGUUCUGUUGCCAUCCAUUUAUUUUCGAUGAUGGAGCCUCUAAAUCGACGAUCGGCACUGUUGAGCAUGAUCUAUACCAUUUGAAGUGUUUAGAAAUCAAAUUUCAUAUAUUUUCGAGAUUGUUCUCUUAUCCAUCGAUCGAGUGGACACAAAAAUGAACGGCUGAAAAUGAAUAUUCUUUAAAAAAUGAUAAUAAGAGUCUUGUAGUCAAAAUCAAGAGUAUAGAUCUUGUUUUAAAUAGUUUAAAGAAUUUUCUAACAAAAAUUCAAUUGAUUUGGAUAUCUUUACACCGUUAAACGAGAAAACGUCUUAUAUCGACCAUUAAAAUUAUACAUUUUAAAACUCUUUGAUCAUUAGGCAAAUGAUAUCGAAAAGAUUUGAAAUUUGAUUUCUAAAUACUUCAAAUGGUAUAGAUUAUGUUCAACGGUGCCGAUCAUCGAUUUAAAGGCUCAAUCAUUGAAAACAAAUGGGUGGCAAUGGAGCCCAUUUGCUACCGAUAGUAUUCUAUCUCAACUAUAUAUAUAUAUAUAUAUAUAUAUUAGUAUCAAACAGGUAGUUCAUAUUUACGAUAGUGAAUUUUAUAAAAAGUAAAAGUAUUUAUAGAAACUCUAUGGAGAAGUAAUGUUAAUCAGCCAAAGAAGUUCAACUGAGUAUAGAAGACAACCAUCAGGCCGUGCUGGAUUGUAGUUUGUUUUCUCGGCAUUGUUCAGUUAUUAUUAUUUUUUGGGGGUUUUUUUUUACAUUUAGCCGCCGCAUAAUUUUUUUUUACAAUUAGCUUCAUGAAAUUUAUAAUUACAAAAUUGGUCCUAUCCCCGCCACACAAGUGACACGUCAGCGGCUGGCAAGCAUAAGUUGAACACAGUGAACUAUUAAUUUAUCGUGUUUAAACUAAAAUGCACUGUAACGCUAGCUGUUUGAAUUCUUUUACAUUACGGGGUGGACUAUUGUUCAGCCGUCCAAAUGUCUAUGGCAGUUACUAUGUACUCUAGGCAAUUUGACUUGCGGUGGAAUCCUACUUCGAGGUGAAAGUAGGCUUCCAUAUGGCCUGUGGACAUCUUCGAAAAGUUUUUUAAAAAAUGUCAUACUUAUAGUAGUUUGAAAACUAUUGAUUCAAGUUAGCAACAAUAAUUAAAGUGAAGUUUUGGACUUAGCAUGCAUUUGGUGGCUGGGCCAUAAGCCCAUACAGUGUUAUAAUUUUGAAUGUCAUAACCGAGAUGUCCACUACUGUAAAUUUUUUUAUUUGAUUUCUUGCAGUUGAGAAGUGAAUUUGUAGAUCUUGUUAUUUUAUAUGACAGAGGGUUUUUUUGUUUCAUUUAAGAGAUUAAUGAGUAGGUGAGGUUUUCUCCUAAGUUAUAAUUAUUCUCUCUAAUUGUUGCAUUUAAUUUUUAGCUACGCGAUAUUUGGGCAUAGGUUAAAAUGUACAGUCGUUGCGCCUUCAUGAUCUGCAAAUCCAACAUACUGCUGCAUUUAGCAGUAACUACAUACGAUAUAUUAAACAAAAUAUUUUUGCCUUGCUUGCGGUUAACUCUACAUGGUACGUAGCUUCCACUAGGGCGAAUCAAAUAAAUACCUAUAUAUAUUGUGCAUGAUAAUGUAUCUUAUUGUGUAGGGUUUCUAGUAUACAUAUAUCAAAGUGUUACACCCAAAAAGAGUCGACACGUCACAUUUCAACCACAUGUGCAUUGCGUGAGUUGUUCUCGAAGCGGAUGCAAUAUAUAUCCUAAUAAGAGAACCAUGCAUGACUGCAUGCACAUGAAUAGACGAGACCAUCUAUAUAUAUAUAACACGCAAAAAUAAAUAUCACUACUCCUAAAACAAGCAAACCACGUGAGCAUGCAACAAAAUUUACGUAUAUUUUUCAACCAUUGCACAAGAUAUAAACAUGCACGCACGAUGUCUCCUAUCACAGAACCAUUUUCUCUUUCUUAGUUUCUUGAUUCGUUGAAUAAAUCACACAACCAAGACUAAAUAGGAAGAACAACGCACGUGCCCGUAUCUCUUAAUUUGUUAUCCGAUACUUUACAACUAAUUAAUUUAAACAAAACAGAUAAGAUAAACGUAAUAGAAGUAGACAUGCUGUGGACUUUGAGCAACUUUAGGUAGGAGUAGCGAGUCUUAAAUCAUAUUGUAGAAACACAUGCAGGAGAAAAAGGACAAAAAGAACCAUAUCUUGUUGUCUAACAUAAGUUUAGGAUGCAUGUAACACGACAGGAGAGGAGUCACGAAAGAUUAAAUGCACCAGUACCAGUCAAAAUUUUGAAUAUUUGAAUCUAGUCGUCUUAACUUUCAAAAUUUUAUAUAUUUCAUCUAAACAUUCAAAAUUUUAUGAUGGGCCACAUAGAUUUAUACUUUAGGAAUUUAUAUUCCACCUAAAUAAUUUAGGACACAGGCCGAUAAUAUAUAUAGAAGGAUCUUUUUGACAUCAAAAUUCAAUCAUACAAGAUAAAAAUUAAUUUCUAACACUUGAGUUUCACAAAUCAAAUGGAAUAAUUUCAAUUAAUUUGAUUCACCAAAAUAGUAUUUGGUAUAGGGUAAAUUGCACCGUUACCCCCUGAACUUUUGACGAAAUUUCACUUUACCCUUCGAACUCCUAAAAUGGACAUCUAACCCCUUAAACUCUAAUGUUACAUUCAUAUUACCCCUUCCGUCAGUUUUCCGUCAAGCUCCGUUAACCGGAAACUGACGGAAGGGGUAAAACGAAUGAAAUAUUAGCUAUUGUUUGGUUGGGGGUUAAGGGGUGGAAUAACCCUUAACCCCCAUUUUAUCCCCAAACACCUCAAAAAAUAGGUGGGGUUAGCUAACCCCACCUCAAAUAAAUUAUCUCGGGUUAGCUAACCCCACCUAACCCCACCAAACUCCAACCAAACACUAUUUUCUAUUCAUAAUAACCCACUAUCUUUCUUAUCACACCUACUCCAACCAAUCAUUAUCCUUCUUUAUCAAUCAUUAUCUUCUUAUCCCACCUACUCCAACCAAACACUAUUUUUCAUUAUUCUAGACUAAAUCCAACCCCCAACCAAACACAAAAAAACUUUAACCCCACUUUAACCUUGAACUUAACUCUAUCCCUGGAAUAGCUACUUUUUCCUUAACCCCGAACCAAACGGAGGCUUAGAGUUUAGGGUGUUAGAUAUCUGUUUUAGAAGUUUGGGGGGUUAAGUGAAACUCGCCAAAAUUAAAGUUCAGGAGGUAGUAGUGCAAUUUACUCCGUAAGGGACUCCUGACUAUAAAUUAUUUUAUUAUAAUAUGUUACUUAUGGAUUGAUUACUAAUCCUCAAGUUAGUGAUCAUGUUUGAUUUUGAAUUUAUAUAUAUUUUUAAUCCUAAAAUAAAUCACACCAUGAUUUAUCCUACAUUUUAUUGUAAUAAAAUAAAAAUGAAAUAAAUGAAUUAGAGUGGCUUAAAGAUAAAAAAAAGAGCGAUACUAACUACCUACGAUGCUCGAACACUCUACUAUCCUGAUGUACUCGCUAAUAUGGUUGAUUUACAAUAGGUGUCCUCACUCGGAUAUAGAGAUUUUAAUUCUCAGUUAAUUUUCUGUAGUAUUCGUUUGUCCAUUUUUAUCUUUAGAAGUAUUGUUCUAUAAAAUACACUUAAANAAGAGAGAGAGAGAGUUAUCCAAUGUGUUGAGUGCACCUAGUGCAUGGGUGCGCGUGGAUGAUUGUCUUCUUUGUGGAAUUAUAGAAGACGAGAGAAGGGUAGAAGAGAUUCAAGAAAGAGGGCUCAGGUUGUAGCUACUCUGUGCAGAAGAGGAGUCAGGUGUAAUCUUCUCUUAUUUAAUAAAUCUUAUUUUACCUGCAUAUUUUUCUCUUUUAUGAUUGUAUCAGCUUUUUGCUGAGGAGACGGGUUUAUGGUAAAAAUCCGAUUUGACGUUUCCGUUGCGGAAUCCCAACAAUCGUUACCGGAUCCACAGCAGUCGGUAUCGGAGCGAGUUGCGGAUUCACGAGAUCCGGUACCGGGCGAGUACCGGAUUCCCAACAGUGGAAAAUGAGGAAGGGGAUGAACAAGAACGAUGAUGGCAUCGGCGAUGAUGGCCUCAUGGUGAAUGUGAUGUGAGAGAUGAGAGAAAUGAAGGAAAUAGAAGAGAGGGGCAUUUUGGUAAGAAUUCUAAUAGUCUGUCCCGAAUUUGCAAAAAUAAAAAAAUGGCUAAAUUCUAUAAAAACAUAAAAACGGUGAAUUUUUUAUGCGAAAAAAAGAGUGCUCUGUCUAGACAUGCUUUGAUGCCCACCAAAAAUAAAAAGUGCUCUCUGAAAAUCAAAACAAAUGAAAAUAAAAGAAAAAAAAUCAAGCAGUAAAAACAAAAAGCCUUACAAUAAUGCUACUUCUGAGAAAAUAAUUUUGUUUGCAAAUAUUUGGGCACAUCUAGUGUGACGCCCUACUUCACAAAGGGCUACUCAUCCUAGAACUACUCUAGUUCUAGGCUUCUAGCAUACCUAACCCUCUUAACCUCUUUAGAUCUAACGACCGCCAAAAUGUUAUAACCGAGUUAAGAGGUUUAACCCUAUUAUAUCUUAUAUAUAGGACUAUUCUAACUUCUGGUCGUUUCACACAUUUUUAUCCCAUUUAAACUCUGACGUCCUCGUCAGGCUCAAGCACACUUACAAGUACCAAGCUUUGUGAAACUUAUCUUAAUAGCUUUAACCGACCUUGUUGGGAGCCGCAUUCCACCCACAACAAUCGUCAGCCAGGAAGCCUGCUCUACCUGCUUUACAGCUUAGUUGAGACUCAUCUCAUACUUCUGCUAAGUUAUUGGAUCUGAUACCAACUGCGAUGCCCCACUUUCUAGGGAGAUCACCUAUUUUGGAACUACUCUAACCUUAACACGCUUAAUCUUCUUAACAUUUUGGGCCUAACCACUACCUAAAAUGUUAUAGUCGACCUUAGAUGUUUGGCCCUAUUAUAUCUUAUAUAUAAGAAUAUUUCAAAUCCUAGGGUUGUCGCAUUCCUCUCCAUUUAAGUCCUGACAUCCUCGUCAUACUCAAUCACACUCAUAAGAACCAAGCCAUGUUAGAUUCCUCUCAGUAUCCUUAGCUGACUUUGUGGGGAGUCGCAUUUUACCUAUAACAGUCGUCAACUUGGGAGCCACGCUCUACAUGCUGUAUAACCACAACUCAAUUGAGACCUGCCUCACACUUCAGUUAGUUAUUGGCUCUGAUACCAAUAGUGACGUCCUGCUUCCAAGGGGGUCACCUAUCUUAGAACUGCUCUAAUCCUUGCACAUUUAAUCUUCUUAACCUCUUAAGCCUAGCCACUGCCUAAAAUGUUAUAGAUGGGUUUAGAUGUUUAGUCAUAUUAUGUUUAGUCAUAACUGAAUUAUUUUUUAUAUAAAAAUUAUAAUAAUACACCAACACAAUUAUAAAGUAAAAAAAAUAUAAAUACUUAACUAAUCAAUUUUCAUCAUAUUUUAGAUAUACAAACUAAAUGGAGGAAAUAAUAAAACUUAACUAAUCAAAUUUUACCAUAUUUUAAAUUUGCAAACUAAAUAAAAGAGUAAUUAGUACCGUAAUUAAAUAUAUUUAAAUAUAACUAGCAUUACUCAUUGUAUUAUUUUAUUAGUUUUUUCUUGACCUCUCUUCUCCGUAAUUGACUUCGGCCCGGGGUGGGCGGAAGUCAAUUGCAUUAUCUCGGAUAACUCGAAUUUUGACCAUUUUUUAUUACGGUGAAACAAACAGUGGAAGUGAUUAUUUUUAUGGCCGAAACGACUUCAGCUUUCCCUACUUUCACUCAAACAAACAGGCCCUUGGUGAUUGAAACAUUUAAACCUGAUUAUACAGCAUCUUAGGCGGUGGCUCAGCUCAAGAGAUUGAGAGGGUUAAGCGUGCUAGAACUACAGCAGUUCUAGAAUAGGUGAUCCUUGGGAUGUGGAGCGUCACACCUAGCUAAUUAGCAUGGCACGCUUGUGCGCAUACACACAUGAUUAAAAAUAAGGGAAGAUGUGCAUGGCGUAGUUGAGGUACUAUUUAAUAAAAUUUCGUUGAAAUGUACAGUUUGCUGAGCAACAUCUAUCCCACCAAGGAUACAACUUGGAUUGUAUUCAUAAUAUAUUAGGAUCCAAAAGAUUCUAUGUUUUGUUUGUUAGUAUGAGGAUGUUAUAACUUUAAAUUAA
This 52743-nucleotide long non-coding RNA is filed under the name Ananas comosus (pineapple). RNAcentral's name for it is "long non-coding RNA (ACOM_LNC010429)". The record is from RNAcentral. Lineage: Eukaryota; Viridiplantae; Streptophyta; Magnoliopsida; Poales; Bromeliaceae.